This 65815-nucleotide long non-coding RNA is filed under the name Vitis vinifera (wine grape). Its description in RNAcentral is "long non-coding RNA (VVIN_LNC007129)". Lineage: Eukaryota; Viridiplantae; Streptophyta; Magnoliopsida; Vitales; Vitaceae. The record is from RNAcentral.
GGAGUGGUUUGGGUGUUGCAUACCUCAGUCCAAACAACACUUCUUAGUUGGCAUAGCCACCCUAUUGGAAAGAGGAGAACGAAGGCGUGGAAUGUUGCUCCUCUUUGCUUGUUUUGGACUAUUCAAAAAGAGAGGAAUAGAAGGGUUUUAAAAUUGUUGAGCUUUUAGAUCAAGAGUUAAAGUUCUCUUUUCUAAGUAACUUUUUAGAAUUAACCGAAGGAGGUCUAAGGCUAGAGUCUUUCUUUAUGAUUGAUUUUAUCGAUUGGUUAGAUUGCUAAUAAGGGGAGGGAUUUCUUGUUUUUUCUUUGGAGCGCUCAUGUAUACUUCUUGUGUACUUUUACUUCUUGUUUCUAUCAAUAGAUAUCUUUGUCGUUUCCUAUCAAAAAAAAAAAAAAACUUCUUGUGUACUUGGUCUAGCAUUUUUUGGCUCUUUAAUCUAUAUUGCCUUUUUUUUAUCUUUUUUUUUUUUUGUACUUAUCAAAAAAAAAAAAAAACAAGCCUCUGAAAACAACUGAAAAUAAUUAAAAGAUGCUCUCUAUAAACAUUAUGCUUUUUGUUUUCUAGUUGUUAAACUUGUUCUCUUGGUUUUUUUUUUUUUUUUUGGAGAACAGAAAACUAUUUUAAAAAAUAGUUACCAAACAAGACCUAAAUCUCUAUGUUUUUAGUUUUCCCUCCAAGAACUCACAAUAACAGAGAAAUCAAUUCAAUUCUUCCUUUCAAUUUCCGUCAUUUUCUAUUGGAGUUCACAUAGGCUGUAAUUGAUUUGCACGUGUUGGCAGGCAGCUCUGUUACUGAAAGAUCAUUUUCCAAACCUUCUAGAACCUCCUUCAGAACUCUCUCACUGAAUUGAGACUUCAAAACACUUUGAUCAAUUGAAAUGCAUGUGAAACAUGGUUUUUAGACAUGCUUCCAACCAAAGACCAUGAAUCCCAAUCUCAACUUGCACAAUUCAGUUGGAGCAUUUAAGGGUGCCCCAGAUGACUCUAAAUGCCUUCCACUUCAAUCAGGCUUGCAGUCAAUUCCUUUCCUGUGUGUUUAGACCCAAUAAGUGAGCGUUUAAACGCAUACACUAACCAUUUAAAGAUUAUGUUCAAAUGUCACUUGUGUUGCUAACUCUGUUUAAACAUCCUUCUGGUGCAUCUACCAAAUGAAACAUUUAUUGACACUUGGCAUUAACAAAUUUUUCUUUAGCUCCAUUUAAAACUGCUUCGGUUGUGUUUAAUCAAACUAUAUUUGUGUUUACUCACACCUAUUUCUGAUUGAUUGCACAUAUAUGAAUUUGUGAUGUUUCUUCAUUUUGGGCUUCCAAAAUGUGAUCCUACCUUUCCAAAACUUUUGACACUUGAGAAGACUUUAUAUUUAAUAAUAUGUUCCCUACAACAAUACAAGCUUACAAAUAAUUUUUUGACUUAAAAUAUAUCAACAAAAACUAAGUAUGCUUUACAAUCUGCACAAUUACAUGUUUUCCUUCCAGUCUGACCACCACUUAUGUGGGAUAUUAUGAACUUUUCUUUUGAAAGUUCCUGUUUACACUGGUUUUUCAUCAAGCUAUUUGGUGAUAUUUCAUGUUAUAUCAUAAUGUUUUCCUUCCCAUGCUUGUUGAUUUUCACUUUGGCUCUGAAAUUUCUUUCUUAUGUAUGUAACCUUUACAGCAAGAAUUUUGCUUGAUCUCCCAAAUCUGUGCAGGUAUCUCCAGUGGUUGAUUGAAGAUCAAGAUUCUAAUGACACACAGUUCCAUACGUUAUAUGCUCUCUCACUUGCCAAAUCAGCUAUUGAAGCUUUCGAAACAGAAAGCAGCUUUCAGAACCCUGAUGCUGGAAGAUUAGAGGAGACGUGUUCUGCUGGUUCUGAAAGGAAUUCAAUUUUUCAGAGUCCUGUCAGAGAAAGGUUGCAGAUCUUUUUACAGUCUUCAGACUUGUAUGAUCCUGAAGAGGUCCUUGACUUGAUUGAAGGAUCUGAGUUAUGGCUGGAAAAGGUAUGUUGAAACUCACUUAUCUUAUUUCAUUAUAAUUAGCAAAAGAUACUGAUCAAAUGGCCACUCUUGAGGCCUUAGAUGGAUUAAUUAUUUGUGCCUUUCCUUGCUUUCAGAUGCAAGGAUGGGACUAUGUUCUUCUUUUUCUUUCUCUUUCUUUUUUGUCAUUUUUUUAAAAGAAAAUUCCAAAUGGUAGGUGUCAUGUACAUAUUACUAAUGCAAUUUCUGGCUUUUCCUGACAGGCUAUUCUGUACAGGAAACUAGGGCAGGAAACAUUGGUGCUCCAAAUUUUGGCCUUGUAAGUUCCAAAAUGCUUACUGAUGAAAUCUUAAUAAUUAGUCAUCACUUUGUGUGAACUGUGUCUGAGGAAGCUUGACCCUUGUCAUAUAUGGGACACAGCUGUACAACCCUAUGUAAAUUCUAUUUCAUUGUACCAUGACAAGGGCUUUGUGGUAGUUGCUCUUCUCCUUGUUUGGUGUUUCUUGACUUACCUCAAUCAAAGCGAGCCUUUUAAGUUGACAUGACUCAUUUUGUGGGAAAAGGAUGAAAAAAAAGGUUUGGAGAGCUGCCCCGUUAUGCAUUUUUUGGACAGUUCUGAAAGAGAGGAAUUGUAGAUCUGUUGAAAACAAGGAACAAUCAGUCAAUGCUCUAAAAGGCUGGUUCGUUGGUAAUUUUUUGUUGUGGGUAAAGAUGUACAUUGAUGAGAGUCCUGUCUUUAAUAGAUUUUUUUCUAUUGGCUUGGUUCUUGCUAAGGGAGCGUGUUUUUGUUCAUCCUUUAGCACUCAUUGCACAAGUCCUAUGUACCUUGGUGUGAUGUUUUUUGCUGCUUGUUUAUAUAUAUAUUAUUAUUAUGUAAUAUUAUCAAUACCUAUAAAAAAAAAUGAUAACAUUUAAUGCUUUGUCAGGAAGCUGGAAGACAGUGAAGCUGCUGAACAAUAUUGUGCAGAGAUUGGUAGACCAGAUGCCUAUAUGCAGUUGGUUCUUUUUCUUUAUUUUCAUCAAUUUUUGUUCCUUUGUUUUUCCACCUGAAGAUAGAAGUUGUAUUCUUAAUUAUGUUCUUGCCUUUUGUUCUGUUUGUUCUAUGAUCAUCCCAGGUUGCUUGAUAUGUAUUUGGAUCCCCAAGAUGGUAAGGAGCCUAUGUUUAAGGCUGCAGUUCGCCUUCUCCACAAUCAUGGUGAAUCACUGGACCCCCUGCAGGUUUUAGAGGUAUCAGGCUCUGUCUCACAUGCACACUUAGAAGCACCUUUUUUUAUCCACCUUUUUUCCAUACCUUGCCUAAGUUUAAGAAUUUUAUUGUAUAAGACAUCUGAAUAUUUGAAAACUUGCAAUCUGGCAUUUUGUGUGUGGGUGGGGGAGGCUUGUGGUAUGGGAAAGAGAGAGAGGGAAGGAAGGCUUAUAAAGGGUCUAUUUUGGAACUGUUUUCCAGUCUUGAAAACAUGUUUGACAAUUUGUUGACAGAAAACAGUUCUUUUGAAAAUUUGUUCUAAAAAUAGGGUGUUUUCUAAAAACAUAUUUUAAUUGUUUUUGCUUGUUUUCUACAGGCUAUUCUUAAAAAAUAAUUAUACAAAUAUAGAGAAUGAUUGAAAAUAAAACAUUUUAGAUAAAAUUUCCUUUACAAUGAACUUUUCCCUUUCCUACUUAUUUUUUCAAUAAUCAAUAAGCAAUUGAAAAUAUUUAAUUACCUUGUUGGGUUCAUACUUGAUCUUUGCUAUAUAGAAAACACAUUUGGCAAUUUGUUGAUAGAAAACAGUUUUUUUUUAAAACUUGUUCUGAAAACCGGGUGUUUUAUGAAAACAUAUUUUAAUUAUUUUCACUUGUUUUCUGCAGGCUAUAUUUAAAAAAUAGUUAUACAAACAUAGAGAAUGAUUGGAAAAAAACAUUACGGAUAAAACUUAUUUUUAAGAAAUAUUUGGCAAUACAUAAAACACGUUGAGAACAUUACAAGCUACCCAACAAACUUUUGUUUCAAAAAACAUCAAAGACGUGUUUUAAAGAAUUAUUCUCAAAAAUUGUUUUUUGAGAACUAUCUUAAAAAACAUUCCCAAACAGGCUGAAAAUUUCCUUUACAAGGAAUAUUUCUCUUUCCUUCUUUAUUUUUUCAAUAAUCAAUAAUCAGUAAACAAUUGAAAAUAUUUAAUUAACUUGCUGGGUUCAUACUUGAUCUUGCUAUAAUUAGAUAGAAACUCCAUCCCAUCAUGUGGCAAGGCAAGCUCACCUUAUUAUGCUGGAAUAGUGAAGUUGAUUGUUCCUUUAUUAUAUUGAUUUUGUUUUCUGUUCCAGACAUUAUCUCCAGAUAUGCCUCUCCAACUUGCUUCAGAUACUAUAUUAAGAAUGUUGAGAGCUCGGCUCCAUCAUCAUCGUCAAGGACAGGUAUGUUUACUGUUGAACCUUGUUUGGUUGUCAUUAUUUUGAUUCUAAGGAAGCCUAUAAAAUAAAAUAAAAUAAAAAAUUAAUAGAUAAGUCAUUUGGAUUUAAGUAUUUCCAUAAAUAUCUGUGUCCUAUGUAAUUCUUUAAGUUUUGUGCCCACAUUCCUCCAAAUUAUAAUUGCAGUAGUCGCUAAGUCAGUCUUGAAGCUCUUACAUGAUUUUAAUCAAACCUAACGACGACUCUACUAGCAUGUGAAGUUAAUGAUAUAGAUCCUGUUAUGUGUUAUUGCAUCCUGUAAGGCAAUUAUUGUUUAUUUUCAUGUCAUUUCCAGUUUUCUUCCCCUUCCUUAGAACAUUUAACUCUUAUUGAGGCACAUCUUCCCCAGGGUGAUGGAAGCUGGGUUCAUUGUUUUCCCCCUUUAUUUUAUCAGCUUCGUGCCAUCGUUUCUGGUAUUUUUGUGAAUAUAAUGAUUUCUAAUUCUUUUUCUCCUUUUUUUAAGCCAUUAGUUCAUUCAUUUCUGCAUCCUCAUCUAUUCUAUGAUGGAAAAGGGGGACAAAAAUUACACUGGGAACGUCCCAGAUAUUUCUUCAGUUUUAACAGUCAUUCUGUAGUUAUCUUCAUAAUUUACAUUGUUUUUUACUUGUUUUUAGAACCAAAGAAUUCCAAUCCGCCUGGAAACAACCCAGUUCCUGCUCUCUAAUCUCACUUUUUAAUAGGCAUAUCAAUGACACAAUUAACACUAUCUAGCUCUUUGUUUCAUGGCAGAACAAUUGACCAGAGGUGUAUGUCCUGUUAUGAUUCUUAUAUUGAUUUUGAAGAGAAGUUGAUGGAUACUGCUGGGAUGGACUUGUCCAUCGAUAUGUUGAUGGAGGGGAAUUAGCUAGAUUGUGGACACUCUCCUUCCUUACUCUAUAUAAAAAGUGAUUGUGUUCACUAAUUGCAAGUUUGACACUCUUACCCACCCUAUCCCUUCCUACAUGAAAUUAAUCCUAAUCCCUACAGAUCAUUCUGCGUAGGAUAUCAGUCACUAUAAUGAAAAAAAGGAGCAAGAGAGGGUCAUCAUGUUGUUGGAUGCAUCUAGAAGCCUUAAUCAUUCGCUAUUCCUUUUAAUGAGCAUGUGAGGUGCUCACCAAUGCUACAUUUGCCUAAAUCCAUCUCUACAUAAACCAAACCCUUUCUAUGGAGAGCAUGAUCCAAAAAAUCUCAAGUCACGCGAUCAUAAGCCUCUCCUUCUGUUAGAUCUCCAUUUAUCAUCCUUGUUUCUGUUUUCCAUGAAUGAUCAAGAAUUUUGCUUCCCUCGAUAAAGUUUUUCUGAGAAUGGGAUAGUCUCAUGGGCACUUGAUGAAGAAGCUUUAACAUAGACUUUGCUAGGAAUCUUAUAGAGGCUAGCAACUCAACUACCAUGCCUAAACUCCUUGAACCCUAUGGAUCAAUCUUAGGGGACAUGGGUGAUAAAAGUCACACUGUAACUCCGAUUUAUGAUAAUACUAAGAGGAGAAUUCCUCAAGUACACAGCAAAACACCCUCUUUCAACAACAAUUAUGAUAGAAUGCUAUAGUGAAACCCAAACAUUACCUUUAGAAUGCUUAUGAUAUUUGAAAUGUGACAUAAUAAUAUUCAGUUAUUUUUAGGUCUCGAUAAAAGCACAAAUGGAAUUAAAUAUGAUAUCAGAUUAUUGAUUUCCAUUUCAACACCCAACAUGUUCUAGCUAUUUGGGUUCGCCUUCAAGAAUUCCAAUUUUUACCAUGCCACUCUUUGGAUCUACCAUUAAAUCAUUGUUGCAGCAUUGAACCACUUUUGUUGGCUUAGCACCUUUUAUGUUGAAUCAUCUCUAUUUCCUUUUCAGAUUGUGCAUAACCUAUCCCGUGCUGUAGACGUUGAUGCAAGAUUAGCAAGAUUGGAAGAAAGAACAAGGCAUGUGCAGAUCAAUGAUGAGAGCUUAUGUGAUUCUUGUCAUGCUCGCCUUGGAACAAAGCUAUUUGCAAUGUAUCCAGACGAUAGUAUUGUCUGUUACAAGGUGGAUAAAUUAUCUUUUUGUCUGUUCCAAGCUAUUCAUGAUUUAUCCAGAUGAGUUGUGAAGGUUGGUGAUGUUGGUCCCUCCUUUUGUCUGUAGAGACCAAGGAAUUCUCUAAAUCUUUAAGAGCACCACCUCCACACCUCAUCCUCUAAAAAGUUUCUUUUCAAAUUUUAAGGUCAGCAGAAACAGGGUUUCCACUUUAACUUCACCAUUGAGCAGCUGAUACCAGAAAAAGGAAUUUUUAUUUUUUUUUAUAAAAAAAAAAAAAAUGAAGUGGCAGGCAUCCACAAGUAGGGAGGAUACAUCUUAAUUGAUCAUGGUUAAGAUCGAAUUGUCUAAAACCUAGUUUCUUCCUUCUGCAGUGUUUCCGUCGUCAAGGUGAAUCCACUUCUGUCACAGGUGUUGACUUCAAACGAGAUAUCUUAUUUAAACCAGGUUGGCUUGUGACCCGAUAACUAUGGAGGAAGAAGAACCAUUUUGGAAGUUAAGACCAAGCUACCAUGUGUUUGCUCUUUACAGCUCUACCUUCCUGCUCUGGAUCGGGUACCAUUUCAUCUUCAUCUUGACAAAGAAUUGCUCACAGUGACUUAACUUAUUUUUAAAGAGAGAUGUCAAACCAGGAAAUUUGAUUUUCAACAAGGUUCUACUGUGCUCCUAUCGUCAGGUACAAGCUUGGUUGAGUAUUUAACAAAAGAAUCCAUGUAUAGAGCAUGCCAUCUUGAUGGUCCCACUAUUAUUUCUUUUCAGUUAUGAAUUUGUAAAGGAUCCAAUUGUUUUGCUGACACAUGCUUGAUUGAAACAGCCGGUUUGUUGUAUAAACAUCUAUAGGUAACUAACUAUCUGGCCACAAUGGGCCUCUUUUGUUCAAGUUUAUUAUGUUUUGAAAAAAGGAGGGGAAAAAAUGGAGUUUAAGGUUCCUACUGAGUAUAUGCUGAGGUGAGGAGCUUGAUGUAUGCUUGGUUUUACAUGUAAAACAUAAGAUGGGUACCUAAGGAGAUAGAAAUCAACCCCUUCCCUUAUCAUACAGGUAGUGAGGAUGAUGAUUCAUGGAGGAUGGCAGAUUUUGUGGAAUGGGCUUCAAACUUAAACAUUCCUGAGUAGGAGUUUUGAGGGGAGUGAAAUGGGCUUUAAAUUGAAUUAAAAUUAGUUAGAAAUUUAUGAAUUUUAAAAUUAUUUAAAUUUUAUAUGGAAUAGAAAAAUAGGUUAAAUGAGCUUAGAAAAACACAAAUAAUUUAUUAAUUUUCAGUGAAUUUUUUUUGUUAACCUUUUUUUUUUUUUUUUGGGUUCCCUUCUUUAUUAUCUUUUCUUUCCAUUUUCCUUAAAGCCAAACAAAGGUGGUGUCUAUGAAAGUCCUCUGUGAGGCCUUUCCUUUCUCCGAAGUGUUUUCCCUGAGCUCUCAGCAAGUUUCUUUGCCAAUUGAUGGAGAUUAUAUUGGUACACUUUAACUUCAUUCCUUUUUAAUGCGAUUGUAUGAUAUUAAAUUUUGAUGAUGCAAAAAGAAACUUUGAGAUGUUAGAAAGAAGGAAGAGUGGUACCUUAGAGAGCAAAAAUUUUGAGAAAUUUGGGUAUUGUACAUAUAAUAGAGGAACGAAGUAGAAUGUCUUCAGCAUUGCCUAAAAAUAAAUAAGGCAUCAUUUAUGAACUGAAAUCAUUUUUUUUUUUUUUUGGGUGGAGAUUUUAGACUUUUUUCAAGUGUUCAAAAUUUUUACUCAUGCCUUUUUGUUUUCAAUAAUGUUUUGUAAAUAUAAAAAGUGAUUUUUGUUGUAAAAGUAAAGAACAUUGGGAUACAAUUUGAGAUAAUAAAUUUUAAAAAAGUGAAUUUUGAAGCUAUCUAUUUUUCAUAACUUUAAUCCCUAUGGUUACAAUCAUAAUGAUUACAAUAAAUACUUUUACAAUAAAUGUGCAAGUUAUAGAGAUACUUGAAAGAUUAUGUCUGAAAUUUCUUGAAUCCUUGCAUGCCAAUAUUAUGUAUGAGCUUCUUGAAUGUUAUAUUAUACAAAGCUUGUUGUGAUGAAAUGUGUUUGAUUUGAUUAUCCUUAAUCUAUUCUUCUUUGAUUUGAACAAUACAUGUAACAAUAUCAUCAUGCAAUAUUAUUUAUUUGUCUUUGAUAGAAGAUAAGUCAUGGACUCUUGAAUAUGUUGGAUCAUAAAUCAGUUAUAUACAUUUACGACCUGCUUCAUAAAUUGCGAGUAAUUCUAAUUUGAGGAGGUGAAUACUAUUAUUUGCUUAAUCAAAUUUUCAUGAUAUAUAGAAUAUGUUUGAUCAUUUUCCAAUGUUUUCAAAUUGGGGCAAAACCAUAUCUUACUAGCAAAUUGAGAAAGAAUGUUAUGUCUAAUCAUGUACAAUUUGCAAGAUAAAUUAAUGUGACAAUUACAUUAAGUUCUUGUACUUUUGGACCACACAGUUCUUUAUUUUCUUUCUUGAAAUGAAAUAUAUCGCCAUUCACUUCAAGUGAACAAACAACCAUAGGGAAGCUAAGUAGGUGUGAUUUGUGGAUAUGCAAGUGUUUCAAGACUUUUUCUAGGUAUAUCAUCUAAUAGACUAACACCUCACUUGGAAAAAUACUUGAUCUACAAGAUGAGCCAAAAUUUUAUUUUCCAUGAUCUUCCUUUCACAUCAUUUCUUGAGAUAAUUAACUAGUCUUAUGAGCUAUUCAAGAGUUCCAAAAAGAUUACAACAAUUACAAACCCCACUUUAAUCCAUAGAAAGAUAUAAUUUGAUUAAGUAUAUUAUCAUUAUUGCUUAAUCUAAAAUAUGAAAUGAGAUUUUCAAUCAUUGAUAUGCAUUUUUAAUUCUUCAAAGAUUUUAACAUACCUAUGGAUCCACAUAAAGAUUUGUAGCUAACAUAUAAACCAAGUCCUUUAGAAACUGUUGAUUGUAUAAUUAAAUCAUUACAAGAGUUGAUAUAAAUCAAGUCAUUCAAAGACUGUUGAUUGUAUAAUUAAAUCAUUAUAAGAGUUAAUACAACAUCUCAAUAGGAAAUCUUAUGAUAUAAUUUUUUAUUAUCUAAAAUUAUACUUUUUAUAUAAUAACUCAUUAAUAUCCAACAAUCUGUAUGUCUUAAUAACCCAUUAAUAUCCAACAACUUUUAUGUCUUCAAGUGUUAAGACUCUAAGUCCAUUUAUAAUAAGCUUUACAUUUUUAAGCAUUUGAACUACAAGUCCAAAUAUUUCUCAUUGUAACGAGCUUUAGAUAUACUUGUUUUAUUUCUUUCUAUUUUUGUCAAUCAUUUCUAUGUAAAUAUUCUUCUACAUUUUGUAGUUCAAAUUUUCAUCAUUUUGUAUGAUAUCAAUAUUGGAAUAUCUGGAUUACUCUCUAGAUUAUUGGGGUGCAUGCAAAACUAUCCUAGGGAUUUCUAAAUCUACACAAUGGAAGCUAUAACAAAUAAAUCUAGGUGUAUAAAAAACCCACAUGUUCUUGAGUCACUUAAUUUAACCUAAAUUGAGUCCUAAUUGAUUAAUUAACUCAACAAGGCUAUUAAUUAAUCAAUUAGCCCAAUUCAAAGACCUUGUUCACUUACCCUUGUGCAACCUUGCAUAAUCACCAAAGACCCUUAUGUAAAAAAGUGAACCUAGGGUCAAUCUGACCUCCCUCAUAACUCAUGCCAAUAAGGUAUAUGAGCUCAAAGCGGGGACCACUAUGACCCAUAGAAGUACUAUCUCCCUCAAAAUCUAAUUCUGAAGUUGAUUCAACAUCCCACUCAAAGAAUCAACUAAACUCUAUUAUCUUAUGUAAAUAAUAAUGAGACACUAUGUGUUCGAGUCCAUGACUUGCUUUCCAUUGUACUUAAUUUCCCCAUGAAUUGGUAUUUGUAGUCUAAUAAGGUGAAAGUUAUCAACUUUUCAAAACUACCUCUACUAUCAUUGAGCACAAAUCUUCAUAUUGUGUGUUCAAUUGACAUGUCUUAGCUCUCAAAGAGCCUACGUUAAGUUUCAUUUAAGGAACUAUUAUGAUCAUAAUUUCCAUAAACACGCCUCCUUAGGAUCACCCAACGGGACGCUCUGUCUUAAUCUCAUGAGAUAUCAGGCUGUCUCUAUUCAGAAUACCUAUUGCUACUGACUUCCAUCAACAGUGACUUAAUUUAUAAGGAAUAUAUAAUUAGCUUUCAAUCUCACUUGUAGGUCAAAGACACUAGUAACUUUAGCACAACCUUAGUAUUCUCUUAAAGUUGAGAGACAACAUAAUGAAGCAGUUUGGUGAGGUCAUGACUACUUGAUAGCCUUAAGUCAUGACUCACUAUAGGUCUUGUCCAAUGUGUAACCAUACACAUUAGUGCACUCAUCAUGAGAAACUCAUCUCGAAAGCCAAGACCAGUCAUCCCUCCAAUUAGGAGGUGGUGCAUCACAACUUCUAAUGAGUUGCUUAAACCCAUGAACCGACUGUGAACAAGUCAUCUAUUUGCAAUGAACCCAUGAUUUGGAUCUUUCAUGCAACUCCUAAUACACCUAAGUCACAUAUAAUGCAAAAGAUGCAGGCAAAAAUGCUCAUAAAGUGUAAUACAUUUAAUAUGGAUAGUUAAAAGUGAAAUUGGAAUAUGAUUAAAUAAUGAAUUCCAAAUUUUGUUCAUUAUGUCAUGCUUUUAAGGGCUCUAUCUUAAUAUCAACCUCUUAAGAUUAUUUCUAUAAUCCUUGAGUUUUAGAUUCUCUUAUUAUGUGAUCAAUUGACAUACUCUAAUUCUCAAUGAGCAUAUGCCAAUUUCUGUAAAAGGAAUUAUUAUUGCCACAAAUGUUAUUAUCACAUGUGCUAGGAUAGAACCCUUAAAAGUAUGACAUGAUAUAAUAAACUUUUGAAUUUUAUUAUUUAUUAAUAAAUUUUCAAUUUGCUUUUAUCUAUCCUAAUUCCAUGCAUUAUACUUUGCAAGCAUUCUAAGUUGCAUCUUUUGAAUUGUAUGUGACUUAGGUGUGUUAGGAGUUAUAUGAAAGAUCUAAGUCACGAGUUUUUUGUAAGUAGAUGAAUUGUUCACAACCGGUUCAUGGGCUAUUAGAGGCUAUAGGGAUGAUUGGUCUUGGUCAUCAAGAUAGGUUUCCAUGGUGAGUGCACUAGUGUGUAUGGUUACACAUUUGAUAAGACCUAUGGUGAGUCAUGACAUAAGACUAUCAAGUAAUCAUAACUUUACCCAACUAUUUCAUUGUGUUAUCUCUCAACAUUGAAACAAUAUUGAUCUUAUGUUAAUGUUAGAAAUGACUUUGACAUGCAUGUGAGAUUGUAAGAUGAUCAUAUAUUCCCUUUGGAUUGGGUCAUUAUUGAUGGAAGUCGAUAGCAAUAAAUAUUCUCAAUAGAGGCACCAUAAUAUCUCAUGGGAUUGAUAUAGAGUGUCCUAAUAGGUGAUCUUAAGAAGGUGUAUUCAUAUAAACUAUAGUCAUAGUAGUUCCUUAAAUGGAACUUGACAUAUAAUCUUAGAGAGCUAAGAUAUAUUAUUUGAACACACAAUAGGAGAAUUUGUAACUCAAGGAUAAUAGAGGUAAUCUUGAAAGACUAAUAACUUUCACCUUAGUAAGUUAUGAACACUAGUUCAUGGGGAGACUGAAUACAAUGGAUAAUAGAUCAUAUACCCAAGCACUUAGUGUCUCAUUGUUAUUUACAUAAGGUUUGGAGUGUGGUUGAUUAUCUAUAGUAAGAUAUUGAAUCCACUUUAAAAUUGGAUUAUAAGGGAACGAAUACUAUUUUACAGGUCCCAAUGGCCUUUGCUCAAGUUCAUAUACCUUGUUGGCACGGUUUCUAAGAGUUGAAUUGGCUCUAAGUUCAUUUUUUUUUUGUAUAAAUGUGUUUUGGUAAUUACAGAAGAUUGCACAGGGGUUAGUAAAUAAAGUCUUUAGAUUGAGUUAAUUGAUUAAUUAAAUAGUUUUUUGAGGUUAAUUAAUCAAUUAGGAUUCAUUUUAAGCUACAUUAAGUGACUCCAACUUUUAAUGGGCUCAAGUCACUUAAGCCUAGUUAGAGAUAUAAAUAUUUUUUUUAUUGAAAUUAUAGGGUUCUUAGGAGUUUGAAUUUAAAAUAAAACCAAAAGACAAUGCUUAAUUAAGUCCUAUUAUGUUGGGUUGUUUAGUUUGGAUAAGUCUUAGAUUUAUAAGAGUUUGAAUUUAAAAUAAAACUAGAAGAUAAGGCUUGACUGAAUCCUAUUAUUCUGGGUUGUUUAGUUUAGAUAAGUCAUAAUGUGUUUAAAUUUGGUUUUAUCUCUGGUUUGAAUUAGAGAGAAUAUCGAAUAAUUUUUUGUAGGUUGGUUAGUUGCUAAAUUCAGGGAUUGCUUCGUUUAUUUAAGUUUUGGAUGUAAACCAUUUUUUUUUUAAUAAAGUAUUAUUUAGUUUCUCUUCCAAAUUGAAUAUGGUAUCAAAGCCCACGAUCUAAACUUAAACAUGGUAAAACCUACAAUGACUGGCGAACGUUUAGCAAGCUCUUUGGAUGUGAUCUCCGAUUCUUCUCUUGUCAAUUCUAGUGGUAAUGGUGGUUCUAAAAUUUUCAUUCACCACAUUACUGUCCACAAAUUAAACGACAAGAAUUAUCUCCAAGGGUUUUGAUAAGUAAUGAUGUACAUAUGUAGGUGUGAAGACAACCCUGACGAAAAACAAUGCAUUUUACAAAGCCUGGUCUUUUGAGAACAAUACGAUUAUGUCUUGGCUUACUAAUUCCAUGGAUAUGGAUGUAGGAUAGAAGUUCCUAUUCUACAAGACAAAAAAAAAUAUCGGGGACAUAGCUAAGGAGAUUUUUUUAGAUAGUGAAAAUACAACAGAGGUGUUUGAACUCAAAAUCCAACUUCUAGAAUUAUGAUAAGGGGACCUCAGCGUGACCCAAUACUUUAGCGUUCUCUCCCGAUAUUGGUAAAAAACUAGACAUGUUAGAAGAAUUGGAAUGGGAUUGCGCUAAUGACAACAUCAAAUAUCAUAAAAUUAUGGGGAAAAAAAAUCUUCACAUUCUUGGCAGGAUGAAGUUUGAGCAAGGAUUCUUAGCACCAAGCCACUCCCAUUACUCCGAAAUGCGUGUUUUGAAGUAUGGUGAGAAGAGAUUCGAAACAAGGUCAUGAUGAAGGAUCACACCUCAUCACAUUUAUUUUCGUGUAACAACGAAUCAGCCUUGGCUACCAAAGGACCGAAUUCUCAACACUUUGAUUCACAAGGAUAUCCAACAGGUCGUGGUGUGAUCACUAUAAUCGAGUUGAUCACACUCAAGAAACCUAUUGGAAAAUUCAUGGGAAACUACCCAAUUGGAAAAGUAACAUAACAUAGGUAAAUGAACCUUAAGGUUAUCGUGCCACCAAUGAUGAACCACCACAGUCCAAUAACUCAUCCAACAAAACACCUUUCAACAGAGAAUAGAUGAAGCUAUUUCAGAAACUCCUCACACAUGAUCCUUUGAGUACCUCCACUAUAGGAUCAAGUUCCAUUGCCCAGAAAAGUAUAUGUUCCAGAGCCUUGAAUGUUUUUUCAAAGUCAAACCCAUGGAUUAUUGACUUUGGCGCAUCCGAUCACAUGAUCAAUGAUAUAACUCUCUUUCACUCUUAUCAACCAUGUUCUGAGAGUUAUAAAAUUAAAAUAGUCGAUGGCUCUUUCUCAGUGGUGGCCGAUCAAGGGAGUGUCAUUCUUCCGAAUAGCUUUAGAUUGCUCUUUAUUCUUCAUGUUCCCAAGCUUAUGUGUAAACUUACUCUCUACAAGAAAAGUCACUAAAGAUCUUAAUUGUGUUACUAAAUUCUUUCCUAAUCAUUAUGAAUUUCAAGAAAUUGAGACAAGGAAGAUAAUUGGUUGUGCCUAGAACAUGAGAGUUUAUAUAUCUUUGGCAAUAACGUUUCAAAAGGACACACUCAAAAAGCAAGUUGCAAUGUUCUUUCAUCUCUUGCAAAUUCCAUUGAUCAUGAAAUAAUGGUUUGACACUUUAGGCUAGGCCACCCAAGCUUUCCAUAUUUGAAAAAGUUGCUUCCACCGUUAUUCAGAAAUAAAAACUUAAGAGUCAUUUCAUCGUGAGUUUUUUCAAGUGUCUAAACAUUGUUGAAAUUCUUAUGUUUCACAACCUUAUAAAAAAUCUCAUCAUUUUUGCUCAUAAAUAGUGAUUUAUGGGGACCAUCCAAUAUUAGCAACGUAACAAACUCUAAGUGGUCCAUUUCAUUUAUUGACAAUCAUACACGAAUAUGUUGGGUGUAUUUGUUGAAAGAAAAAUCUGAAGCAAAAAAUAUUUUAAAAAAUUUAAUGUCAUAAUUAACACUCAAUUUCAAACCAAAAUCCAAAAUUUUUGCGUUAACAAUGGUACUGAAUACUUUAAUUCAAUCCCUAGACCCUAUCUUCGUGAACAUGACAUCAUUCAUCAAAGCUCAUGCAUUGCUACACUACAACAAAAUGGAAUUUUUGAAAGAAAAAAUUGUCAUUUGGUAGAAAUUGUUUGAUUCCUUAUGUUCACGACAAAUGUUCUUAAAUAUUUUUUAGGGGAAGUCAUUCUCAUUGCAUCAUACUUGAUAAACCGAAUGCCCACUGGAGUAUUAUAGUACCAAACUCCCAUUGAAGUUCUAAAAAAUUGUUACCUUAACAUUCGACUAGUGUCAUCAUUUCCACCAAAAAAAAAAAAUUGUUGUAGCGUUUUUGUCAACACUCAUGAUCAAAGCAGAACGAAACUAGAUCCAAGAGCCCUCAAAUGUCUUUUCUUGGGAUAUUCUUUAACCUAAAAAGCUUAUAAAUUUUACUCACCAAUCAUAAAAAAAGUUUUAUGUUUACAUGGAUGUAACAUUCCUUGAGCAUCAAGCCCAUUUUCCUAAAACUCAACUAUAGAGGAAGAUUUCAAGGAAUUCCAACUCAAAUCAAUUUUGGGAUAUUACUCUUCUAGCUAAUAUUGAUAUUGUUCUCCCAACCCUAGUUUUCAAAUCUGUCAUCUCAAUAGUCCCUACAACAACAUGUAAUUCUAGCCCUAAAACCAUUGUUGUUCCCUUCAAACUAGAUUCUACACCCAAUAUUCCAACAUAUUCAAUCCCAAAACUAGAUUCUUCACCCAAUUUUCCAAUAGAUUCGACCCUAAAAUCGUAUUCUACAUGCAAUCUUCAAGCAAAUUUGACCUUAAAGCUUCAGGUUUAUUCCAGAAGAAAAGUUGUCAGGGAUAUACAAAUUCUCAUGCCCUCGGCUCAUGACUAGAUAACUGAACCUAAUCCAAAUACUCAUGACCAAAAUUCUGGUAACACGGUAACUGAUACUAAUUUGACUGUAUUAAAUGAUUUGGAUGUUCCUAUCGCAUUUCGAAAAGGGGUUAGAUCAUGUAUUACACAUCUCAUUGUUGAUUUUGCUUCAUACUAAAGAUUAUCUCCAUGGUUUUGAGCAUUUAUUGCUAAUAUUUAUAAAGUUGAUAUACCUAGGGACAUUCAUGAGCCAUUACAACAUCCAAAUUGGAAGGAAAUUGUGCAUGAGAAGAUUAAAGCUCUUGAAACAAAUGGAACUUGGGAAUUAAUCGAAUUGCCUUUAGGAAAAUCUACUAUCAGAUGCAAAUGGAUUUUCAAUGUGAAGUAUAAAGUUGAUGGGAACAUUGACAGAUAUAAGGCAAGAUUGGUGGCUAAGGGAUUUAUGCAAACAUAUGGAGUAGAUUAUCAGGGAAAAUUUGCUCAAUUGCGAAAUUCAACACUAUUCGAGUUCUACUCUCAAUUGCAAUCAACAAUGAUUAGCCUUUUCAUAAGGUAGACAUAAAAAAUGCAUUCCUAAAUGGUGAUCUCAUUGAAGAAGUCUUCAUGGAUAUUCCAUAAGAAUUCAAAGAUGUUGAAAAAAAAAAAAAACCAAGUGUGUAGGUUACAUAAAUCUUUGUAUGACCUAAAGCAAUCACUUAGGGCCUAGUUUGACCAUUUUACUUCAAUUAUUAAGAAAGUUGGGAACAAUCAAGGAUAAUCGAAUCAUACGAUGUUUUUCAAACAUUCAUUAUAUGAGAAGAUAAAUAUUCUUAUCAUUUAUGUGGAUGACAUAAUUCUGAUGAUGAAAUGGAAAUGAUAAAUCUAAAAAACACUCUAUCUCGGGAAUUCAAAAUCAAGGACUUGGAAGAGAGCUCUUAGGUAUUUCCUUGGCAUGGAGGUGGCUCAAACAUCAAGUGGAAUAUUAGUUUCUCAAUGGAAAUAUGUCCUCGAUCUUCUGGAGAAAACUAGUAUGCCCGAAUGUAGACCAACAGACACACUUAUGGAGUAGAAUGGAAAGCUUAGCAACAAAGAAGAAAACCCUUCGGUUAACAAAGGUCAAUACCAAAUACUUGUUGAGAAGCUGAUCCAUUUAUCCCAUAGUAGGCCAGAUGUGGUCUUUCCUAUUAGUGUGGUUAGUUAGUUCAUGCACGCUCCCACUGAAAAAAUCUUAGUGUAGUUCACAAAAUUCUCUUAUACUUGAAAAUGACACCGAGAAAGGGUUUUUUUUUUUUUUUUUUGCAAAAAUAUCAGAUGAGGAAUUAAAGUAUAUUUUGAUGCAAAUUGGCUAGGUUUCAUGAAUGAUACAAGAUCCACCUAGGCUAUUAUACCUACAUAUGGGGUAAUUUGGUUACUUGGAGAAGUAAGAAGCAGUCCAUAGUGGCUUGAAGUAGUGCGGAAGCUAUGUUCCAGGCUAUUGCACUUGGUGUAUGUGAAGGACCAUGGCUAAAACGUGUGAUGGAGGAGUUGAAGAUUUCAACCGAGCUUUUGAUGAAAAUUAUUUGUGAUAAUCAAGUAGCCAUCAACAUCUCCUAUAAUUUGGUUCAUCAUUAUGGAACCAAGAAUGUGGAAAUAGAUCGACAUUUCAUUAAGGAGAAAGUUGAGAAUUGGGAGUUUUUACUGUAGUACAUGCCUACCAAGCUUCAAACUAUAAACAUUCUUACAAAAGCUUUACCAAAACAACAUUUCGAUCUUUUAUAAACAAAUUGGGAAUGAUCAAUUGUUAGGAUAGAGCCUUUAAAAGCAUAACAUGAUGUAAUAAAUUUGGAAUUCGUUAUUUAUUUAAUGAUGUUCCAAUUUCAUUUUUAUCCAUCCUUAUUCCAUGUAUUAUACUUUAUAAACAUUUUUGUCUACAUCUUUUGCAUUGUACGUGACUUAGGUGCAUUAGGAGUUGCAUAGAAGAUCUAAGUCAGGGGUUUCUUGCAAAUAGAUGACUUGUUCACAACCAAUUCAUGGGUUUAGGCAACCCAUUAGAGGUUGUAGUGUACUAUCUCCUAAUUGGAGGGAUGAUUGGUCUUGGCUAUCGGGAUAUGUUUCUCAUGGUGAGUGCACUAGUGUGUAUGGUUACACAUUGGACAGAACCUAUGGUGAGUCAUGACUUAAGGUUGUCAAGUAGUCAUGACCUCACCAAGCUGCUUUAUUGUGUUGUCUCUCAACCUUGAGAGAAUAUUGAGUUUGUCUUAAAGUUAGCAGUGGUUUUAACCUACGAGUGAGAUCGCAAGCUGAUCAUAUAUUCCCUAUUGAUUGGGUCACUAUUGAUGGCAGUCGGUAGCAAUAGGUAUUCUCAAUAGAGACACCAUGAUCUCAUGGGAUUGAGACAUUGUAUCAUCUUGGGUGAUCCUAAGGAGGUGUAUUUAUGGAAAUUAUGGUCAUAAUAGUUCCAUAAGUGGAACUCAACAUAGGCUUUUUAAGAGUUAAGACAUGUCAAUUGAAUAUAUAAUAGGAGGAUCUAUAACUCAAGGAUAAUAAAGGUAGUCUUGAAAGGCUGAUACCUUUCACCUUAUUAGAUUAUGGACACUAGUUCAUGAAGAGAAUAAACACAAUGAAUAGCAGGUCACGAAUCUGAGCACGUAGUGUCUUAUUGUUAUUUACAUAGGAUACUAAGUUUAGUUGAUUCUCUGUAGUAGGAUGUUGAAUCAACUUUAGAAUUGGAUUAUGAGGUAGUCAAUACUCCUAUUGGUCCCAAUAGUCCCCAUUUUGAGCUUAUAUACCUUGUUGGCGUGCAUUAUGAGAGUCAAUUUAGCUCUAGGUUCACUUAUGUGCAUAAAAGCGCUUUGAUAAUUAUGUAAGGUUGCACAGAGGUAAGUGAACAAGGUCUAUGGAUUGAGCUAAUUGAUUAACUAGUAGACCAUAUUGGGUUAAUUAAUAAAUUAAAACCCAUUUUGGGUUAAAUUAAAUGACUCAAGCCCAUGUGGGCUCAAGUCACUUAAGUCUAAUUAGGAACUCUAUAAAUAUUCCCUACGGGUUAGGGUUUUCAUAACUUUUCUCUUCCACCAUCCAGAGAGAAAGAGAGUCAUAGUCUUCAUCCUCCUUUCUUCCUCACCAAAAGUGUGUUAAGAACAAGGUUGAGUCAUUGAGCGGAAGAUCAUGGGUCUACAAGACUUCCAACAACUUGAAAAUCAUCUUCAACAAUUGGAAUUUAAGGUUUGAGAACAUCCAAACCUAAAGGUUAGAUCUUUAACCCUAAAAAAUCAAUUUUAAAAAAAUGGUUAUUGCUUCCAUUACUUAGAUCUAAGAUGACAACAUCAAUAUCUAUUCCUCAGUUUGAAGAGGGUGUGUUGAAACCGUAUGAUUUUUAGGAGUUUAAAUCUAAAAUAAAACUAGAAGAUGAGGCUUGAUUGAGUCUUAUUAUGCUAGGUUUUUUAGUUUGGAUAAGUCCUAGAUUUAUAGGAGUUUGAAUUUAAAAUAAAACCAGAAGAUAAGGUUUGAUUGAAUCCUGUUAUUUUAGGUUAUUUAGUUUAGAUAAGUCUUAAUGUGUUUAAAUUUGGUUUUAUCUCUAGUUUGAAUUAGAAAGAAUAUAUCAUAUAAUAUUUUGUAAGUUGGUUAGUUGCUAAAUUCAGGGAUUGCUUUGUUUAUAUAAGUUUUGGAUGUAAGCCAUUUUUUUUUUAAAUAAAGUAUUAUUCAAUUUCUCUUCCAAAUUCAAUAAAUACCCCUUAGGGGUUAGGGUUUCCAUCACUUUUUGAAAUGAGUUGUUUUCCACCAUCUACAGAGAGAGAAAAUCAUAGUCUCCACAUUCCUUUCCUACUACUUGUGUGUUAAGGUUAAGGAAGAUCUUGGAUACUUGAGACCUCUGAAAAUUUCGAACUUCAUCUUCACGGCAUGAAAUAGAUUUGGGAACAUCCAAAUGUAAAGUAAUGUUUUUUAUUGCACAUUCUAAAUCCUAUUAUUGUUUUAGAAAUGCUAUUUUUCUAUGCAUAGGAUUUAAAAAAGCCUAUGAAGUCUUGCAUGCACCUAACUUGAUUUUGAGACAGGAAACCAAGAUAUUCGGGUAUCCCUACAACAUGUCCUUAGAAUCCCACAAUAGGACACAACCUCAAACCCAUAAGAUAUCAUCAUGCAUAUCUUAUGUAUACUUAUUACCACCUGUAGGGAAUAUUUUGAUUACUCCAUUCUUGUCCUUAGACUAGUUAGAGUGCAUGUUAUUCUUUUUAAGCCUCUAGAUCCUAGUAAUAAAAUCAUAUAUGCAUAUUAAAAACUUUGGAUCUAGAAGAGAAAUGCUUACCUUGAAUAUGGAUGUUUCCAAAUUAGAUCCUAUUAGUGAAAAGUUAUUAAAAAAUGCUAUAGAUGGUAUAGAUCUCACAGACCAAACGAUUUUAUACUACGAUGACUCAUUCUUGAAUCCAAGCACAAAGAUGGUAGAGAUCUCACAAUAGUGGUGGUUAGAGUUUUUUCUCUCUCUUUAAAAUAAAUAGGAAGUAAGAUUGAUGCCUUUACCCCUAAGGGGGUUUAAAUAAGCUUAACCCCUCUUGGGCUUAGAUCACUUAAACUAAUCCACUUGGGUCUUAAUUGAUUUAUUAACCCAAUUGAACUCAAUUAAUCAAUUAACUUAGUCCAAAAAGAAUAUUCACAAGUUCUUAUACAACCUUGCAUAGUUACCAAAACCAAAACACCCUUUGUUAUUAUAGAAACUACUUGUCCUAUCAUGAUAUUAUCUUUUGUUAUAACUAUUCUACCACACUUCGAACACAUUUUUAUCUUGAUGUUAGUUAAUUGUCCUUCAAGGACAUCAAUUUAUGAUAUUUGCUUAUAUGUACAAAUUUUCAAGAAAUUUUACCUUGUACAACUUAUUAGACAAACAUCUUAGAAUAUACUUAUUAAGUAAUUGAUGUUAUGUAUAGAUAAAACAAAGAUACAUAUUAGCAAAUACAACAUAUACUAUGUUAAAUAAAAUGACAUAAUAUAAGAAAGUAAAUAUUCUAGGUGAUAAUUUAAGAAUAAACAUUAUUGAUCAAUUAGUCAAUUUUAUCAUUAAGAUUUUCAAAGAAAAUUGGAAUCAUCUAAGUGAGAUAUGUCAAUCUCAACUCUAUCGGUAAGGUCUUUCUCUAUCUUCAAUCCUUUUCUUUUAAUAACACUCGAUAAAAGUCAAACAAAUGUUUGAUUGUACUAUAUAUACUCAUCAAGUGUCAUUACAUGUGACACCUUUAACAAUCAUUUUUUUUAACGAUUUUUUGUGGGUUUAUUUUGCAAAUCGAACUUUCUUUAUCAUUUUAACUUAUCUUGGCAAGAUGUGGUUUUUUUUUUUAAAUAAAAAUAAAAAUAAAAAUAAAAAUGAUGACUGCUAUACAAUCAAGAGUUUAUUUAUAUGAUGAUUUAUAUAAUUAUAUUAUAUCUUGGUCCAUGAAACCAUUCCUAAUUUAUUACAUUUACUUCCGAGAAUGACUUUGAUCUAGUUGACUAAAACUAUGAUCUUUCAUAUAAAAGUUGUCAUUCUAAAAUAUUUUUAGUUAUAGUGAGCUGUGGGAAGGAUUGUAGUGUUUUAGUAGUUAUAUUUCCCUUGCAUGUAUGUUUCACUUUACGACUUAGGUUAUAAAUUUUCUAUAUAAAAACAUUGUUUGUAUGACUUAUGAACAUGAGAAAUUAUAAAAUUAACAUUUUUAUAUCACUCAUGAGAAAUCAUAUCAUAGUUAUUUUUUCUACAUAACUUUUAGUUAUAAUAAUAUAUAAAAUCCUUAAAUUCAUAUUCCAUAAAUUUUUCCCUUGUGAAAUACAAAUUUUAAAAUAUUUACACUAAUCUCCCUAUUUUUUAAGUGACAAAAAAUAAUUUUUGAGAAAGAGUAUUGCAUUUAUUCAUGGAUUCCUAUUCCAAUAUUUUCCCAUGUGAAAUACAAUUUUUAGUAACAUUUACACUAUUUUUUUUUUUUUUUACUAAUUUCCCCUAUUUUUCCUAAUGAAUAAUUUUAUAAUAAUAAAAGAAAAUUUUCCAUGGUUUCAAAUAAAGUUGUGCAAAAUUAAAAUUUGAGAAGUUUGUUUUGUAAAAAUUUUGGUUAUAAAAUAAAAUUAAUUAUUUGCAUGGCUUCCGUUAUAGAAUAGUUAAUGGAUAAUUUUGUUCUAUAUCAUUUCUAAUUACACAAUAAAAUUAGAAAUGUUUUAUGACUUCUAGUUAGGAGGCAAGUGUCAAUAAAAAUUAUCUUAAAAAUUUUCACUUAUGAGAUAAAGUAAAUAAAAAUUAUAAUAAAAAUAGAACAUGAUGAAAUACACUUUAAUUAAUUUUAUUUUUAUAAUUAAAAUUUGAACUUACUAGAGAGUAUUAGGGUGAAGAUUUGAUACCAAUUUUUUUAGUAGAAGGUAAAUAUCUAGAAAAUUUUUAAAUAUUUAUAUUUAGAAAUAAAUUAUAGUUAAAAAAUAGUCAUUACAUUUUUUAAAAUAAAAAUAAAAAUAAUUUUUUGUAUAGCUUUAACCAUUUAUAACUUAUGAAAUAAUACUAUAAAUAAGAAUUUAACCAUUUUAUUUAAAUAAUAGGGCUAUUUAAUUAAAAGAGCCAUUAAAAACCCAAUUUUAGAAAUCCAAUCCUUAAUUUUUUUUGGUCAUAUUUUGACAAAAAUGUCUUUAUUCUUUUUUUAUAAAAAUAAUAAUUUCUUUUAAAAUUUACAUAUAAAUACUUAAAAUAAUUAAGGACAUUUAUGUUAAAAAUAAGUUACUCUGAAAAUAAAAACACAGAAAUAUUAAAUUCAUAAAUAUGAGAAUUAUUUCAUCUUUUUAUUAAUCAAUUCUAAAUAAUAUGCUUUUAUGUCAACGAGUGUAUUUAUGAUGUUUACAUUUUUAAAAAAAUAUCAUUUAAUAAAUGUAAGGGCAAAUUUAUAAAAGAAAUUACCGUUUAAGGGCAAAUUUAUAAAAGAAAUUACCGUUGGACUUUAACAGUUUUUGUUAUCAAACAAUAAGAUUAAAUUCAAUGCUUAAAUAUAAAACAAUAUCAAACACUUUUUGCUUCCACUAAUUUCUGACACUUAUGAUUUCAAUACUACGUGUAGGACCUGAGGCGCUACUAACUCUCCUAAAAGCAAUUGUUGUUAGGAAAGACGCAUACCCUAACCUUAUAGUGCAUUCACCCAAGCGUCCACGAUGAACAUAAGGAGAGUUGAUGGAUGCGACCAACCUUCCGAUCUGUCAACACUACAGAUUUUUCGCACCUAUAAAAGAACUUUUACAUUUUAUUCGAGAGUUAUUGUCAUUUUUUUUUGUUUUUAAAAAUAAAAAAUAAUUGAAUUUAAAAAAAAUCUCAUAUUGAAUUGAUUUUAUUUAGCCGUACAUUUGUGAAAAUAUAAUUCCAUUUCAAAAAUUAAUUCAACAAUUGAAUAAAGUCAAAAUCAUUUCUCUUCCUUUAACUUCAUGGUUAAGGAAUCAAAUGUUCUCAUCGGAAGGCCCAUCAUAACAGUAUGGCCCUGACUGUACAGAAUCACAACCUCCUAAAGGGCGAAAGACCUUGCCUUAGAAAACCGAGUGAAAAAGGAAAGUCCCAUUCUCUGUUGCCGAAGAAGAAGAAGAAAGGAAGCUAAGUUGAGGUGAGAUUUGUAUGGUUUUUUCUAUUUUCUUGGCAACCAACCAGAUUAGUUUUUUCUUUUCAUUGCUUCCAUUCUUGGAUGGGAUCUGAAGUUUGUGCGGGAGCAGUCUGAUUCUUUCGUUCGAAACGGUGUCGUUUUUGUUGCUGCGAAGCCGAAGUCGAAGCGACUUCGCUCUUCGCUUUGAUCGGAACCGUGGAUUUUCGCCUUGGUGAUUGGAUAUAGGUUGUAGUAUUUUUAUGAUGUUUUCGUGUUUGGGCUUUGCUGUAUUUGAUGAGCAUUAGGGUUUCUAUCACAUGGCGCCCUCUUCGGAGCCGUUAAGGUGAUAUUGGUUGAUGGAGCCCUGCUUUAGAUAAUGAUCCAUUUGCUAGGCUGAAUAAUAUCAUACAGUCACCGUUCCCGAUUGUUUUUUACAAUAUAUAUAUAUAUAUAUAUAUAUAUUUUUUUUUCAUUUUUCAUUUUUCUGUUAAAGAAUUUUUCCUUGAUUGAAAGUCGGUGCGGGGUAGUAGCAUGCUGUCAAAGCUGCUGCUAUUCGAAUAAUUUUUUUGGAUUCCUUUAUUUUUUGUUAUGUGUUUGUGUGUAUGUUUUGCCCUAACAAUGUGUAGAAUUAAUAUGUGGUUAGCGAUGGAUCUUAGUAGGAUUAUAGUGAUAUUUUAUGGUUCUGGAGUAACCAUGUUAAUGGGGUCAACAGCUCCUGCAGAACAUGUGUGAUGUAUGGAGGGGUUGUUUAGGGUGAGAGACUCUACCAUUAUGGGAGUUGUUUUCCAUGGUAUAUAGUCAUAUCAAUUCGUGAGUCAUGGAAUGCCUGUUUGUUGGAUUGUCCUCACUUAAAGAUUAGGUUAUAAGUGAGCUUGUGUUUUUGAUGGUAAGAUUAAUUAUCCUUUGGUGUCUUGACUGAGAUGAAAACAAAAAACCAUAUCAGUCCUAAGUGUUCCGAUUCAAUACUGCUGUCUCUCAAGCUUUGCUGAUUUCCAGACUUAAUGGAAAAUUUAUGUCCCAGAGCAGCAUUUCAGAUGAAAAGAUAUCACCUUGAACUCUACUAAUGUAGCAUGUUUGGGGUUUAGCUUCCUAAAAAAGUUACCUAUGAGCAGCUGGAUUAGAAGCAUAUAGAUGAGAAAGGAUAGUAUGUGAUUGUGUGGACUAUGAUCAUGUCAAAAUUGUGUUUUUGGUGUUUUGGAAGUAUCUUAGGUGUACUCCCUUUAUUCUCAAACUACGAAAAAGAUGAAUGUAUUUUACUUUUGAGGGACCUUAAAACCUGCAGAAAGUAUCUUAGUUGCCAAAGGAUUAUGUUGUUAACCAUUGGAGAAAUGUGGGAAUGGCUCUGGGAAGGUACUUUGGUUAGCACUAUAAAGAAAGUUUAUGGAGAAAGAGGUUAAUAUCAGAAUUAGGCAUGAUGCUAAUGAUAUUAGGAUACAAAUGGUUCAACCUCUUGUAGAAUGGGAAGCUUGGAGACUUGUGACCCACAUAUUGAAUCUUGAUUGAUGGAGAUAUCCUUCUUCUUUUCCAUUAAGUACUGUGGAGAUAUAAUUACUGUGUGUAUAAAGGGACAUAACCCCUGUACCCGUGGAGCAUACCUGAAGGCCACAAAGGGACAGAAGAGGAAUACAAGAUACAACUAAAAGUGAAAGGAGCAAAAAUGACAUGCACGCACAGAGACAUCACUCCAAACAAGGAUACCCCUUCCAUAUAUUCAAUGAAAUCUAAGAAGGAGCUCCUAUGAUCCACAGUCAAUGUUGAUGACCACACAAAAUGGGAGAGAAAAAUCGUGCCUGUAAGCUUUCAGCCUGGUAAUUCAAGGCCCUCAUACGUUGUUGAAUUGUGCCCUUUCCACAACCCUAAUGGAAUGCUCAUCGGGAUUGCACUUCACAUCUUCUCCUUUCACUCCUCGCUUGUCAUGUCAACUCUCCUACACACAAUUUCAAGGUUUUUGGGAUAAUCUAGAGAACUUAAAGCAUCGUAAAAACAUGGACCACUUUUUAUGAACCAGUGGGUAAUAAGCAACAAAUGGUCCUUGGCCUCAUGAUUUGACUUACACAUGUAAUACCAGUUGGAAAGAUUUUCCCUUUUCUAACCAACUGGUCAAUGGUUAAAAUUCUAGUCCAAGCUACCAUUGCACUGGAAUGAAUGCCACUUGAAGAGGAACUGCAGGAUCCCAAGUCCAUUUUUUGGGAAAAGCCACUUCCUGUCUUGCCUCUUCUUACAGAAGAAUUUAAUCAAGAAAUUCUUACAUGAAAUCAACAUCUACCAUCCACCCCCCACCGUUAUUGUUUCACCUAUUCAUCAACUAAGGUUUUCUCUCUUCCUUUUUGCUUGCUUGUUCAAUGCUGUGUGUAUAUAUUGUGUGUACUUUGCCUGUGCUCUUUUCUGGCACUUUUAAUAUAUUUUCUCAUUUGCCUAUAAAAAGAAGAGGGAAAAAGAAUCUUCACCGAACCUUUAAAACUCUAAUAAUCAGUCACCUGGUCAUCCUUAUUACCUGGAAUCUUGAACAAGUUGAGGUAUCCUUUUAUUUUUUAUUUUUUAUGAGAAACAACAAUGUAAUAUAUUGAAUUAGGAAUUAAGAAGUAUAAUAGAAGAAUGAGGAAUCCUUCCACAAACAAAAGCUAAACAAAAGGAAUACCAUAAACACAAGUUGAGGUAUCCUGACACUCUAAUAAUCAGUCACCUUGUCAUCCUUUAUACCCGCAAUCUCGAACCAGUUUGGAUAUCUUGAAACUCAAAUAAUCAGGCACUGUUUCAUGCCAACCUGUUGCCAUUUCUCACCUUGAACCUGCAAUGUCAAAAUAUCUCUCCCAUCCAAUGCCGAUUUUUCAUAACCCUACCGCAAAGGAACCUUUCAACACCUUGGAACACUACCCUCUCACUUCUUCCCCAUACUUAUCAUGCACUACUCUUUCCUAGCUAUUGCAUUGCCACAAUAAAAUCUCCAAAUCCAGUUACCCAGCAUAUCCUUAUUCAUCACCUCCAAACAACCCAACUUCCUUUGACCAGAAAAUCACCUUCCUGUUUGUUGGAUGAGUCUUCAACUCCUUUGUCCUUUCUUGAGGCCCUUCUCAAUCAUUUUGCCUUUUCCUAACUCACUUUGGAAUGAAAAAUGUUGACAUAAAAUAAGUUGGCAUAUCUGUUAAUUUUCUUAUAUUAAAGCAACUCUUACCGCUUGUUGACAAGUAUUGUCUCUUCCUGCUAGCUGGACACCUUCAACUCUCAGAAUAAUUGGACCCCUCACUAGGUGUAUUAGGAGGACACAUGAAGGGAGGCCAGGUUAGUGCAAGAACACACCCUACAAUUAAGAAAAUGAGUCAAACCUCCAACAUUCUCCUCCAUCCUGAUGGGGGGAUGAUCUUGCUUUUCACCAAGUCAAUCCUUGACCUUGGAACUGCCUUGAAACAAAGAUCCACACAUUGAAGAUAUCUUAACUAGUUCCCCUUGCCUUAUGAAGGCAAUUUUUUCAUCAGCAUAUAUAAGAUGAGGAAUGAGCUCUCUACGAUUCUCCCUCCACCAUGUUGAAAGCCUUCAAUGAAAACUUAUUCCUUUGCUUUGCACAUCAUCCCCCUACCCUGAAUCUCAAGCAAGAAUGGUGAUAAAGGGUCUCCUUUUGAGUCCCUCUAGAGUUCUUAAAGAAUGCAAUUGGCAUAAUGCUAUUGAUUGCUGAAUAUCUAAUUGACUUGUUGCAUGUUUCAUUCUACUCCAUGAACUUUUCCUUGAAUCCCAUAUGCUCACAAACAUAAAGGGUUUCUAUUUCACAUGAUCAUAUGUUUUCUUUAUAUUCAACUGGCAUCUCACAUUAGCAUUUUCCUUUCUUGGCAUCAAUGCACUAGGUUAUCAGAAAUUUUCUUAUCCUCUUCAAGAAUCGUGUGAGCCCAAAUACCAACUUAUCUAAAACCUGUCUCAAACUUCAAGCUAAAAGGCAUGGGUAAGCUUGGAAAUGUCCUCUUAUAGGCCUAAAAUUUUCUGGAUCAUUUUCUCCCCUUUUCUUGAAACAAACACAAUGAAACUUAAUUUAAACUUUUCUCAAAUUCACACAUAACAUGAAAUCAGCUCACCAGUUCCAUAGCCUGCCUUUGUCCAGUCCCUAAUUUUGAUAUUAGUAAAAAUACCAUAAUAGCACCCCAAUUUAGAAUUGUCACCCCCUAAAUCUUUAAUAGCCUUGGCAACCUCUUCCUCCUCAAAAUCCCUUUUAAGUAACCCUUAUUUAUUUGCAAUGUCCUUGUGGAAUGUGAUUUGACUAUAGUUAUUUCUUGGGUCUAAGAGAAAAAGUGAAAUCCAUGGAAAUGACAUGUAUAAAAUCAGUGAUUUAUCUGUAGAGUUGGGUUGUUCCUAUACUUGGCAUCCUCUUCUAACUGACCAAUCAGUAGAUAGGUUGGUAAUGUGAGGUGCCUUAUUUCUAAAUCCUAAGUAGUGGAGAAUAUGCUCCCUUGAUAUCUGUAUUUUCCAUUUGUAUUUUGAUGGUUUGCUUGUUUUGGCUUUGCUUUCUUUUGUUGUUGUUCUCUUUAAGGGCUUUCAUUCCUAAUAUACAUUGAAUUUGUGAAUUGGAGAAGUAUUUAUUGUUUCAAAUGCAAAAGGGAAGGGGAAACUAGAGCUAAUCUUCAAAUCAUCUGCCCUAGGCCUUCAAGGCACUAAGUUUGAAUAUAAACCUUGGAAGUAAUGGAUAACCCUGAGGCUAGUUUCAUUACUCUUGUAUUUCCAGCCUAUGUUGGUAAUCAACAUACUCGUAUGGUUAUAGGGCUUGUGCAUAUGGUGAGUAAAAGCAGCCUGUAAAAGAAUGUAUUCUUGUCUCUUUUUUUCAAUCACAGUGCCUUCUAACUUUGGCGGCAAGUAAUCCCCUCUAUUUGGCCAAUUUAUGACAUGGUCCUUCCUCCUGUAUUUUUCUUUUGUUUUCUUAGGUUGCUGUACAUUUUAUGUUUUGAAAUUAGUAUUUAGUUCCAUAAGGCCCAUUUAUGUUACAUGAUUUGUUUGAGAGAUUGUUAUGAUUAUUAUUAUUAUUAUUAUUAUUUUCUUUUUCUUCUGGUUCUCUCUGGAACUUGAACCUGAAACCUCCCAUAACCCUGGCCUCUUACCACUUGAGCUAGGCCGUAAGGGCAGAUUUUCAGUAUUUGAUUUGGAAAUUGUAUUUUAUGUUUGAGGAUAGUUUUUUCUUUGCUCGGUUACUAUUCUGUGUAGGUUCAUGCGGUUAGCAUUUGCUGGCUUCAGCUUGUUUGUGUCAUUCUCUUGUUGAGUGUUUUGACUUGAUAUGUGAAAUGAUUGUGAUACCUUGGUCUCUGGGUUCAAGGUGUCGGCCUUAAUCUUCUUUAUUUUUUAUUUUUUAAAAUCUUAUAUCUUCAAAUAAAUAAUAAUAAUUUUUUCCCCAGGGCUGAAAGUUCUUUUUCUGCUUCUGAUUUUAAAUUACACUUGGAAGAGGUUAUGGGAAGUUAUUGUUAUUAUGGUCUUAUGUUCGAACAUAAAUUGGUGUAUGUAGUUGAGCAAUUCAUAAAUUCCAGUCAUUUUUUUUUCAGGCCAUGAUUUUAAGAUUUAAUUCAUUCCAAGAAUUUGCAUUUUGAUUUGAUGGGUCAUGCGAUUUAGAAUGAUUUUAUAUAUUAUUGAACUGAAUUCAAGUCUAUUUGUUCUAAAAAUUUGUGAAGGCAUUAUUGAGUUUUUCUUGGGGCAAUUUUGAUUUAAGAAUAUUUCUCAUAUAUGACAUCUGUGCUGUACUUUUUACUGAUUUAUCUCGCUGGCCCUUAAAGCAGGGAAUUUCUACAUGAUGGCGGAGUGAUGCAUUUCUCAAUGACAAAGAUCUGUUCCUGCUAUAGCAGUCAUCUAUUUUUUAUAGUAUCAUAGUCUUAGACUGAUACAUAUGGCUGGGCUUUUAACUGGGGAUCCCUCGAAUAGUGGAAUUUUUGAGGAUGGAUCUUGCUGCAAUUCAAAGGAUGGGCUAGAGGAAGGUGGUCAUUGGUAUAUGUCUAGGAAGGAAAUAGAAGAAAAUUCCCCAUCAAGAAGAGAUGGCAUUGACUUGAGGAAAGAGACAUAUUUCCGAAAAUCAUACUGCACUUUCUUGCAGGAUUUAGGCAUGAGGCUUAAAGUGUAAGUCCUAUACAAAAUGUUGUUCUGGAUUAUGUCUCCUUUUUGAACUGGUUGUAGGCAAUUCUUUCAGGUAAUUGGUUGCAUCAUUUCAGGUUUGCAUUGAUAUUUUAGUUUACAUCUUUGUUGCGUUUUUAUUACACUUUUUUAAGUAGGAUUAUUAAAUUGAGUUGCUGAAAAUGGUUCUUAACCAAAUUCUUUUGCUUGAUGUGAGGUGUACAAAGUGUAGAUGAAUGAAAUUGCUGUUUGAUUACAUGGAACUUCUUUAGUAGAUAAUGUGGGAAUAAUUAUUUCUGAUGGUAGAUGUUGUAUGGUGGGCCAAUACUGGUCCUCUGUGCAUGUAGUAGAAUUAAAGAUGUAUUGUACUCAUGUAGAUUGUUUCCUUGAUAGUCAAAGAGUUUUUAUUUGCUUAUGGAGACAACAUUAAUUUUCAGCUUACUUGAUGUGUUGCAUGAAUGCUUCUAAAUCAGUGACAUAGGUGGGCCUCUGCACUCUCUAAGCUUCUCUGUUUAGAUUUCAUUAAUUCUAAUCUGCUGCAGAGCUCAAACUGUCUCUAGGAGAAUAGUAUAAUUUUAUUAGGAGCUUAAUGUCAUGGACUUAGUCGUUUACUAAGCUCCUGCGGCACUUAGACAAGUCAAGACGCUUGAUCUUGCUAAAUCAGCCUUACUCCCAAUGCUUAGCUUGCUAGGCUAAGACGUUUGCGACUCGGAAGUUGUAGAAGACGUAGUAGGCAACUCUUAAAGAAUAGAAACUUCUUAUUACUCAAGGUAGCCUUUACAAGUGCUUUGAGGACUCGCUUGGUUAGGAAGUGAUUUGGGUGGUGCCUUGGCCAAAUGAGACCCUUACCUAUUUAUAGGCACCAAUGGAACUCUCUAGAACCUUGGAGGGUUCCUUACAAAUCAAGAAGAUUCUAGAGUGCCCUACACAAUUCUAUGUACAACCCUAUGUACAAGAGAUCUCUAGAAUUCUCUAGAAAGCCUUGGACUCCUCUCAUGCCUUCCACCAUAGUGUAGAGAUGUGUGAACAUCUCUAGGCAUCUCUAGAACCUUUCCCACUCUUCCCUCCAAUGGCUUUGUGUAGAUGGCUCCAUGAGUCUCCAGAAGCUUCCUGAGCUCUAUAUAAACCCAUGAGGAGGCUCAUUUGAAGCAUCCUGUGACAUUAAGCUAACUGAAGCUUUGCUUUCUUUCAUGCUCACAUACUGUAGUUUAAAUAUGUGUUCAUGUUUGUUGAAGCUAUUUUUUUUAAUAAAGGAUAAGAGGAUGAUGGGGAUAUGCCCCUAAGGUUUUUUCAAAAGAAAAAAAAAUAAAGGAAGAAAAGGGUGUUUUGGCAUUUUUUGCAGAUUUGGGUUAUUUGGAGUUAACACGAUUGGUACCUUAAUGAAGUCAAGCUUGAUUAGUAUGUUUUUACAUCUCAUCCUUUUACCCCAAAAUGCAUUAAUUCCUAUGUGAUUGCCAAUAAAUGUUAGUGGAGACCUUGCAAUGUGCAAGCACAAGCACAACAUGUGUUCCAAGGGUACAUGUUUUCAUAAAUUUAUUGACAUAUUGCUGCAUAAAACCUGGCCAAAUUGUUGAUAUAAUUAUAUACCAUAACAUUUUUUUUUAUCAGAAUAAUUAUAUAACAUUUUUUUUUAUCAGAAUAAUUAUAUACCAUAACAUGAAUAUUAGAAAUCUGGUUUCAUUGCAGACCCCAGGUAACUAUAGCCACAGCAAUAAUAUUUUGUCAUCGGUUCUUUCUUUGCCAAUCUCACGCAAAGAAUGACAGAAGGGUGAGUGACUACUCUCUUUCCAAACUGAUUAUUUUUAACCAUCUUGAAUCUUGUUCAUAAGUGUUGAUUUAGUUUUAUCAUUUUGGUUCAAGGAUGAGUUGUAGUGACAUAUGGAGUUCUAGUGACACAUUUCAAAACAUGAGCAGUGGUUUGGUCUGAUGUUUUAGAAGUUUUUGAUUUGAAUUAAUAAACUUUAAGUUGUAGUCAACAUGUGACAUUAGCAAGAAUGAGGGCACUUACUAAAAGCAUGUUCAUAUGAUUUUUUCCCCCUUAGAGUUAAGCUAUUUUAUCCACCAUAGGAGCCAACAAGAAGGAUGUACAAGAAUGCCCAGAAGUAAAUACAGAGGCAUACUAUUGAAGAAAUUAUCAUUGAUUCUUGAUGUGUCUAAAUUUGUGUCAUGUUGACAGUGAUUCGGCUCACUAUUCAUAAGUAGGAUCAUAACACUUGGAUACAGAAUCCCUGUGUACUUUGGUGUGCUUUUUGAUAAGCUCUGUACAUAUAUUUUUUUGCUUGCUUAUCAGGAAAAAAAAAAAAAAAAAAGAAGAGCACUUGGGUGCAGAAUCCUUCCAUAUGGGGCACAACUCCUAUGGUGUUGUGGUACUCUGGCAGCUGUUCUUUUUCAGAAUUUUAGGGAUAAAAAAAAUAAUUGGUAGCUAAGCAUGCUUACUUAAUAAAACAUAUAAAAUGGUUAUCUUGAUUAGAUCAUUACCUUUCUGGUUUAAUUGCCUGUUUCUUUGAACUACAAGAAACCAGGGUUGGAUUAUUUUUUUUUUAUAAUUCAUAAGACUGCCAACCUUUCUGAGGGUGCCAAGUACUCUAUGUCAUUAACAGGCUAUUCUUAGGCUCUGGUCACCUUGUGCUAUUUUUUAUUUUGCCUUUAUUUAAUCAUAUAAAUUUUUGAUGUUUGCUGCAGAAUUCCUUUUUUUUUUUGGGCAAAUGAGCUAAGUGUGAUUUGAGGGUAUGCAGAAGCUAUGAUAAGAGAACUUGUUGUGCAUGGGAAGAAAAGUAGAUAAAAAUGAAAUACGCAAGAGAUUAGUUGGUUUUGCAUUUGAUCCAUUCUUAUCGCUACCUUCUUUCAUAUGCUUUACAGACCAUCGCCACAGUAUGCAUGUUCCUCGCAGGGAAGGUUGAAGAGACUCCACGCCCACUGAAGGAUGUUAUCCUUGUUUCCUAUGAAAUAAUUCAUAAAAGGGAUCCUGCUGCUGUCCAGAAGAUCAAACAGAAGGUGCCUUUUCUAUUGUUCAAUGCUUUUACCAGUAUAUUUGUAUACUUUCUUUCUCAUUCUGAUGCUUGCCUAUUCUCCUCCAUACCAAAAAAAAGGUUGUGGUUGGGGGCACAAGUGCAAGAAGCUACAUAAUUAGGGGUUUGGGUAUGAAGAAGUAUAUGAACAGGAGUGAUGGGAAAACUCAAGAAACAAGGUUUUACAGAAAUAAUCCAACAGUAUCUUUAUUAAUUUGUAAGAACUAAAGAAAAUAAACUUGUAAUCAUACGAGAGAUGCACUGAAAUUUUUUGUUGGGAGGUUAAAGGAUUUAAUAUCAUGUGUUUUCCCUCGCAACAAACUUAGUUUGGAUAAAAUUAGAAGGAUGAGAUUAAGCAAAUAAGAAGAACAUGACUGAAGUUGUUUCCUUCUAGUCUAAUUAUAGUUUCAAGGUGUUCUCUGAGGGCUGCCAUUGUGUUGCAGCUUUUAGUUUGGAUAAAAUUAUUGUUUCCUAUACUGAUUAUUAGGGAAAAAAAUAUAACAUUUUGAAAAGAUAAAUAUAACAUUUCGAAUGCUUUCUUGGAAUGUAAGAGGGGUUAAUGGCAGAGACAAAAAGAAGGUGAUCAAGGCUUUGAUAAAAAAAAUAGGGUGGAUUUGGUUUGCUUGCAGGAAACUAAGAUCCAGGAAAUGUCAAGGGGUCUUGUUCAUAGUUUAGGAGUGGGGAGAUUCUUAGAAUGGGGAGCUGUGGACUCAAGGGGAGUUGCUGGAGGUAUAGUGGUUUUUUGGGAUAACAGUGUGUUGGAAUUGGUCAAAUUGGAAGCGGGCAUGUUCUCAAUCUCUUGCCAUUUUAAGAAUUGUGAGGAUGGUUUCAGGUGGACUCUUAAGGAGGGAUAGGGAGUGUUUCUAGGGUGGGUUGGGGGCCAUAAAGGGACUUUGGAGUGACCCUUGGUGUGUUGCUGGGGUUUUUAACUCAAUUAGAUGUCUUGAAGAGUGUAGCAUGCGAGGGAGUUUGAACUUAGACAUGAGAAGGUUCUUUGAGGUAAUAGAAGACUUAGAGUUAAAAGACCUGCUGUUGUUGGGGGGGCCCUUUACUUGGAGUGGAGGGGUGAACAAUCAAUCAAUGUCAAGGUUGGGUCGGUUCUUAGUGAAUGAGGGGUGGGACUAUCGUUUUAGCUAGUUGAUGCAGUGUGUCUUUUUGAGACCUGUGUUUGACAAUUUCUCAGUUCUUUUAGAUAGUGGAGGUUUGAGGAGAGGCCCCUCCCUUUUAGAUUUGAGAAUAUGUGGUUGAAGGUGGAGAGCUUUAAGGAUCUCCUGAAGUUGUGGUGGGAGGGGGACAACUUUAAUGGCUCUUCAAGUUUUAUUUUGGUGUCAAAAUUACAUGUUGUGAAGUUUAAACUGAAGGAGUGGAAUAGAGAUGUUUUUGGCAGAGUUGGAGUUAGGAAGGAUUUGGCCUUGAAUCAAGUGGACUAUUGGGAUGCUAAGGAAAAAACUAGCAUCUUGUCUUUGGAGGAGUUGGAAGCAAGAAAAGAAGUGAGGAAAGAUUAUAAAAAAUGGGUUCUGUUAGAAGAGAUUUCUUGGAGGCAAAAAUUUAGGGAAGUGUGGUUGAAAAAGGGUGACAGAAAUACUGGUUUUUUCCACAAGAUGGCUAAUGCACACAAAAGAAGGAAUUAUGUGGACAUAAUUAAUAUUAAUGGUGUUUGAAUUUUGGAGGGGAAUGAAAUCAAGGAAGGGGUGGUCAGAGCCUUUCUGUCUUUGUUGUCCAAUUCGGGGGACUGGUAUCCUUCUUUAUCUGGGUUGCAGUUUGAAACGCUAGAGACUGUGGGCACUUUAGGUUUAGAGAAGCCAUUCUUGGAAGAGGAGGUUUUUGGUGCUCUGUAGGGGUGCAGUGGGGACAAAGCACUAGGGCUUGACGGUUUUUCUAUGGCAUUUUGGUAGUUCUCUUGGGACUUUGUGAAGGAUGAUGUGAUGAGAUUCAUCAGGGAAUUUUAUGAACAUGGUAACUUUGUUAAAAACCUGAAUGCAACCUUUUUGGUUUUAAUCCUAAAAAAAGCGAGUGCUGAAGAUCUAAGGGAUUUUAGCCCUAUAAGUUUGGUGGGGGGGCUGUAUAAGUGGCUGAUCAAGGUUUUAGCCAAUAGGCUAACAAAGGUGGUUUCUAAGGCCUAAGGGGUGUUUGUGGAGGGUAGGCAAAUCCUAGAUGCAGUGCCGAUUGCUAAUGAAGCCAUUGAUUCGAUCUUGAAGAAUAACGAAUGUGGUAUCUUGUGUAAACUUGACAUAGAGAAGACAUAUGACCAUGUGAACUGGUCUUUUCUUCUCACAGUUAUGCAGAAAAUGGGUUUUAGGGAGAAAUGGAUUGGGCGAAUCAUGUGGUGCAUUGACACUGCAAGUUUCUCUGUGUUGGUUAAUGACACCUCUACUGGUUUCUUUCAAAGCUCAAGGGGUUUGAGGUAGGGGGAUUCGCUUUUGCCUUAUUUAUUUGUGAUUGCUAUGAAGGUGUUUAGUUGUCUCCUAAAGAGGGCAAUGGAUGGAGGUUUUUUGUUGGUUUACGAGGUGAAGGGUAAGAGUGGAGAAGGGGUUUAGAUAUCCCAUUUGUUGUUUGCUGAUGAUACCUUGGUGUUCUGCCAAGCUUCCUAAGAUCAAAUGACCUAUCUUAGCUAGUUGCUUAUGUGGCUUGGGGUCGUAUCGGGGUUGAGAAUAAAUUUGGAAAAGAGUGAAUUAAUUCCAGUGGGUAGGGUGGAGAAUAUUGAUGACCUUGCAAUUUGGAUUUAGAGUGGGUAGCCUCCCAUCCACUUAUUUGGGCCUUCCUUUGGGUGCACUGUUUAAGUCAGUGACAAUUUGGGAUGGAGUAGAAAAGCGGUUCCGUAGAAGGUUGGCUAUGUGGAAGAGACAAUACAUUUCCAAAGGAAGGAGAACGACCCUACUUCGAAGCACGUUGUCGAAUUUACCCAUCUAUUUUAUUUCUUUGUUGCGCAUGCCGAGCUCUUUAGAUAGAGACUAGAGCAAAUUUAUAGGGAUUUCCCUUGGGGAGGUGGAAAUUAGGAGCGAAAACCUUAUUUAGUAAGAUGAGCGUUGGUGUGCUUAAGUAAGAAGAAAAGGGGUUUGGGUGUCAAGUGUCUUUCAACACUAAAUAAGGCUCUUCUUUGUAAAUGGAAUUGGUGGUUCGCAAAUGAGAGAGAGGCUUUGUGGAAUCAAGUGAUUAGAGGGAAGUACGGGGAGGAAAGAGGAGAAUGGUGUUCUCGGGAAGUGAGAGGCAUAUGGUGUUGGGUUAUGGAAAGGGAUAAGGAUAAACUGGGACAUUGUGGGUACUAUGAUUUCUUUCCUUGUAGGUAAUGGGCGGAGGGUAGGAUUAUCGAGGGAUAGGUGGUGUGGGGAUUCCCCUUUGUGUGUGUCUUUCCCAUCCUUGUUUGCUUUAGCUGUUGAUAAGGAGGUGUGGGUGGUGGACAUUUGGGAUCCCUUGGCUGAGGGGGAUUGGGGGGGAUGGAACCCUUGUUUCUCAAGAUCCUUUAAUGAUUGGGAGGUGGAGGAGGCGGAAAGCUUCUUGAGGCGUCUACAUGGGAAGAGUGUGCGGUGAUGUGGAAGACAUGGUGCUUUGGACCAAAACAAAGAGUGGGAAGUUCUCGGUCAAAUUCCUCUACUAUGCUAUAGAGCUGGGCAGAUCUUCUUUGUUUCCCUCAAGUUGCAUUUGGAAUGUGUGGGUGCAACCCAAAAUUAGCUUCUUUGCUUGGGAAGCUACAUGGGGCAAAGUUUUAGCUUUGGAUUUAAUUCAAAAAAGAGGGUGGGCCCUGACAAAUAGAUGCUUUUUGUGCCAUGAGAAGGAUAUAAACCACCUUCUUCUUCAUUGUACUAAAAUAAGGGUCUUGUGGGAAUUGUAUUUAACCUUGGUUGGGGUGUUAUGGGUGUUGCCUUCUUUAGUUAGAGAGACUCUCCUUAGUUGACAUGGUUCUUUUGUGGGCAAAAAGUGUAAAAAGGUGUGGAGAGCAGCUCCUCUAUGCAUCUUUUGGACAGUUUGGAAGGCAAGAAAUAGAUUAGCCUUAAAUGAUGAUGUGUUUUCGAUUCAAAGACUCAAAUACCUUUUUGUUUUUUCUCUUUGGUCAGAGGCAAAGUUGUUUAUAACUAAUUGACCUUUAACUUUAGUUAAUUUUAUUAAUUGGUUGAGCUCUAGUUAAGGUUGUUUUUUUACCCAACUAGGCGCUUGUUUACUUGUACUUAUUGGCCGGUUUGGUGGUGGGUGUAUGGGUAUUGUAUACCUUGAGUUGCUCUUUUGACGCCUCUUUUCAAUAGAUCUUUUCUUUAUCUGUCAAAAAAUAAAAAAUAAAAAAAAUAAAACCACUUUUAUUAAAAAAUUAAAAGUGUCACUAGGACACACGAAAGUACACGGGAUGUAUGCAAAUAGCGCCUAAUAGCAUAAAAAAAUGAGAAAGAGCCCCAACAACAACACCCUUGCUUAACAAGAACCCGACCACUAAACAAAAUCAAGUAAAGACAUAGAAUUUGCCCUUAUGUACUUCUUUACCGAAGUAAACAAAUUUCUAAGAAAGAACAUUUUCAAAAAAUGACUUGAAUGCUCCUCGUUAUCAAAUGACUGAAGAUUCCUUUCUGCCCAAACCAUUCAAAAGAUACAUAAGAAAGCUGCUCUCCAAACCUUUUUACAUUUUUUUCCCACAAACAAACUAUGCCACCUUAAAAGAGCCUCUUUAAUAGUAGCAGCUUGCACCCAAUGGAUACCAAAAAGAUCAAACAACAACCGCCAAAGAAUCCUAACUUGCUCCACUAAAGGUGGGAAUUCUGACCAUAAUUGAAUCACAAAGCAUGAUGAGCCCACCACCACGUUAAACAAUAUCAACAAAUUUCUACCAUCAACUUUUACGAGAACUUUGGCACACUGCAAAAUUGGUAGAAUGUGGUGUCUUUGUCGAUUGCCACAAAACCACCACAAGUGUUCCCUAGUUUUAAAGAAGGUUACUUUAUCCCAUAAAUGCACAAGCAGGUCCACUACUCUCAUCCAUGCCUCUUUGACAUGAACACCUUUCCUAUAACAACCCAUAAUUGGAGACCAUCUACUUAGAAUACCUAGAAAAAGCAAUUUGUCCAUGAACAUCCUUCGUCCACUUUGGAGGGCCUUUUUUGCAUUAGAUAUUAACUCAAAUUCAAACAAGUUGACUUUCCCCUUUAGACUCCAAUUGUGCAUUCCCUCCUCUUUAAAGGAGGUAAAUUUGGGAUGUAAUAUGACGAUUUUCUUCGUUGUCUUGCAAUACAACCCCGAAGGACCUCCAUUUUUCUUCAUGCUUCUUCCCCUACUUGAUCUACAUUGCAUUGCCAAUCUCUGUCUAAGAACCAUGUACAAUGUAAAAAAAAAAAGACUUGUCUUUCUUAGAAGCCAUUGAAACACCCAUUGCUAUUGAAGAUGUUUUUGCUAGGGUAACUCUUUGGUCUUGUAGCUAGAAGAAAUCCCAAGGCUUCUUAACUCCCUAGCAAGAGUACUCCAUCCCCUAGGGAAUUCUCUACCUUCUAAGAACACCAAAACAAACCUCCUCGCCUCCAUAGAGCAUAAGAAAAAUCAUCCGGCCACAUUUCUUUGGAGCUCCAAUGAAUGCUUUCUUCCUCCUUUACUAUAAGCCUCUUGGAAAUGCUUUCUUGGAACCUUGAGACAACAUUCUUCCACCCCAGUUAGGAGUUGUUGUGGGAGUGAUUUCAAACUCCUAACUUGCUUUUGUGGAGGGAAGACAAAUCUUGGAUGCUGUCUUUAUAGCAAAUGAGGUGCUAGACUCAAGGUUGAAAAGCUAAAAAAGGGCGGUCAUUUGCAAAAUGGAUAUCGAAAAGGCCUAUGACCAUGUGAAUUGAGGAUUCUUAUUAGCAAUCUUGGAACAAUGGGCUUUGGGGCAAAAUAUGUAAGGUGGAUGAAGUGGUGCAUGUCCUUAGCUUGGUUUUUGGUUUUGAUUAAUGGGACCCCUACAAGUUUCUUUCAAAGUUCUAGAGGCCUAAGACGGGGAGAUCCUCUUUCCCCUUUUCUCUUUAUUUUUUUUUUUUUUGAUCAGAAACGAAGAAGAUUAUAUUAAUAAAAGAACAAAUACAGCCCUUUUCUCUUUAUUUUGGUAAUGGAAGUGCUUUCUAGUAUUUUGAAGACGGCUAUGGAGGGAUUCAUUAAGGCUAUGUUUGGUUCCCGGAAAAUUUGAGGGAAAAUGCGAGGGAAAGAAAAUACAAAGGAAAAGUAGAAGGAAAGAAAAAGUGAAGGAAAAUAAAAAAAUAGAUUAAAAGUUGAUAAAUUAUUUUUUUUGUUACUUCAAACUCAUUUGAUUUAUUUUAACUCAUCAAUAUAAAGAUUAAAUAAUUUAAAAAUACAUAAGUUUUUAAUUAGUUUUAAUUAUAUUUGAUUUUCUUUGAUAUUUUUCAUAGGACAACCAAACAUGAGAAAAUCAUUUUCCUUAGCAUUUUUUUUCUUUCCUUUGUACUUUCCGGGAACCAAACAUAGCCUAAGGGUUUCUUGGCCAGUGGGAGAGGAGGAGAGGGUAUGGUAGCGUCCCAUCUUCUUUUUGUUGAUGAUACAGUGAUUUUUUGUGAUUUAGAUAAGGAGCAUUUGGAGGCUUUGAGUCGGGCUUUCAUGUGAUUUGAAGUGAUUUCUAGUCUUGAAAUUAAUUUGGAUAAGAGUGAGUUAAUCCUAGUGAGAGAGGUUUCUAAUGUAGAAGAGUUGGUUAGGGUGGUGGGGUGUAAAGUGGGCGCUCUUCUUCUACUAUUUUGGGUCUACCUUUGGGCACUUCCUUCAAGUCUUUUCUCGUCUAGGAUGUAGUAGAGGAAAGAUUUUAGAAAAGACUCGCUAUGUGGAAAAGACAAUACUUAUUGAAAGGAGGGAGAUUGACUUUAGUUAAGAGACUUUAUCUAGUCUACCAAUCUACUAUAUGUCUUUAUUUGUAAUCCCAUGUAACGUGAGCCUUAGAGUGGAGAAGCUUCAAAGAGAUUUCCUUUGUUGGGGGGGGGGGGGGGGGAGGGAGAUUGACUUUAGUUAAGAGACUUUAUCUAGUCUACCAAUCUACUAUAUGUCUUUAUUUGUAAUCCCAUGUAAUGUGAGCCUUAGAUUGGAGAAGCUUCAAAGAGAUUUCCUUUGGGUGGGGGGCGAGGAGAGCUCCAAAGAAAGCCUCAUUUAGGGAAUUGGUCAUUAGUUAGCUUGGAUAAAAUGGAUGGAGGUUUGGGGAUUAGAAAGUUGUUCACUUUUAACAAAGCCCUCAUUGGAAAAUGGAGCUAGAGAUUUGCUUAUGAGAAUGAGGUUCUGAGGAAGUUGGUGAUUGUAGGGAAGUAUGGAGAGGAAGAAGGGGUGUGGUGUUCUAGAGUUUCGAGGGAAGGUUAUGGGAUGGGUCUUUGGAAGGCAAUCGACAAUGGGUGGAAGGAAUUCAACAACAUGGUUGUUUUUAGGGUAGGCAAUGGUAGGAGGGUGAGGUUUUGGAAGGGUAGGUGGUGUGGGGAGGAUCCUUUGGUAGAGGCUUUUCCAGAGUUGUUUUCAAUUGUCAUUGAUAAAGAAGCUUGGGUAAACCAGAUGUGGGAGCAAGUUGGGGAAGGGGGUUAUUGGAACCUAGUGUUCAUAAGACAGAUAAAUGAUUGAGAAUUGGGAGAGGUGGAAGAGUUGCUUAAUAGGUUGCAAGGGCAAGUGAUCAGAAGUGGUGUUGAGGAUGUUAUGGUUUAGCAGGUAACAAAGGGAGGCACCUUUACAAUGAAGUCCUUUUACUACUCCCUAAUAGGACGUUCUCCAAAAGGCUUCCUAUUAGGUAUUGUGUGGAACCCUUUUGUCUCGAUGAGAGUCAGUUUUUUUGCUUGGGAAGCAGUUUGGGAAAUUUUUUUAAAUCUAGAUCAACUAAAAAGGAGGGGUUGGUGUCUUCCAAGCAGAUGUUGUUUGUGUAAAGAUGAAGAGGAUUCAGCAAACCAUAUCCUUCUCCAUUGUCCAAAGGCGACCUUGUUGUGGCACCUCAUCCUUGCUCUUUUUAAUGUCCAAUGGGUAAUGCCUUUCUCAAUCAAGGAUACCUUUCUUAGUUGGCGGGGAUCCUUUGUUGGGAAGAAAAGAAAGAAGGCGUGGAGAGCAGCUCCUUUAUAGUUAUUUUGGACCCUUUGGAAAGAGAGAAAUCAAAGAGCCUUUGAAGAUUUAGACUUGACAGACCAUGCUAUUUUAUGCUCCUUCAUGUACAUGUUUUUGGAGUAGGUUAGGGUACAUUUAGGGUCUAACACUUUGUCUUUAUUCGACUUUAUUGAUAGGUUGGGUUGUAAGUGAAGUGAGGGGGGUGUUUUUUUUUGUGAAUCACUCUCUUUUUUGGCCUUGUAUACAUCGUGUAUACUUUAGACGCUUUUAAUACAAAUGCUUUUACCUAUCAAAAAAAAAAAAAAAAAGAAAUCUUUCACCCCUUUUAGUAAAAUAACCAAACUCUUUUCUCCAAGUCUAAUCCAACUUGAAAAUCCCUGACCCCUCUCCAAUAUCUUGCCUACAACCUGUCCUUUCGCCACCUUGACUUUGAUCUCAAAGGAUUUAGACUCUACUCUAAACCAGCCUUUACCUAUUAAUGUAGUUUGUUUCCUUUGUGCCAUACACACCAUAACAAGCAAGGAGGAGCCAUGUUCUCAACCCUCCUUGUCUUUUGUCUAUACCCCCUUCACUUUCCAACCAAAAAUUAGCUCUUUCACAAAAUCUGGAAGCACCCACAGCAACCUUAAAAUUGCUAACAUGUUCCACAAGUUUGUGAUUUUGACACAAUAGACUAGGAUGUGGUUCGUUGAUUCCUUAUUGAUGCAUCUAUUGGCAUCAGCCAUCCUCUCCUUAUAAGGACAUCAAUGGGUAUGAUUUUUCUCCAUGUAGCCUCCCAAGCAACCCCCCAAAAAAAAAAAGAAAAGUUCUCAAAGGGGCGUAAAUGCCCCAAAUUUCUUUGGUGGGGAUCAAAACUUGAAUCUCAUCAUGUAAGAAGUUGUAGAAAGAUUUUACUUGGAAAAUCCUAUUUUUCUCCUCCCUUUAAAGAAAACUAUCCUCCCAUUCUUUUCGUACUCUUAACCUUGUGGAAAUGCUUCAUAAAUUGCAUCACAACCCCCAACUUCCAAUCUUGAAAAUGUCUUCUUAGAAGAAGGGACUGGGAGCCUUCUUUCUCCAUUACUACCCACAAGUCAGACACCGUUGCAUUUCUAUUAGAGGCAAUCUCAAAUAGUUGAAGAAGCAAAUCUUUCAUGGCACACUCACCCAUCAUUAGACCAUUUGGUUUUGAGGUUUUUCCUAACCAGAAUAGAGGUUCUAAGGCUAAAUUCUUCCCAUCCUCUUAUUGCUUUCCAUAAACCCAUAGUACAAGCUUCUCUCACCUCUACAGUGUACCACCCUCCGCCACCUCUUCAUAUUUGUCUUCGAUUAUCCUCCUGCUUAGGCUAUUGUGCUCAAGGUCAUGUCUGCACAACCAUUUGCCUACCAAGGCUUUAUUAAGAACAUCCAACUUUCUAAUAUUGAAUCCUCCAUUCCUCUUAUCUUACACACUUCUCCAAUUCACAAUGUGCAAUUGUCUCUCCUUAAAAUGACUCCCUCACAAGAAAUCUCUCUGAUAUUUUUUCUAACCUACUCACUUCCUUAAGUAUCAUAAAAAGGGACAUGAAAUAUAUGGGAAAGCUUGUGAAAGUACACUUUAUGAGGGUCAAUCUUUCUUCCUUUUUUCAAGUACCCUUUCUUUUAAGGUGCCAAUUUCCUUUUGAACCUCUUCUUAAUUGAAUCCCAUACCAUAAAAGACUUUAUUAUAUGCUCCCAAAGGCAGCCUAAGAUAGAUGGAAGGGAGACUUCCAACCACCUAAACAAUAUGGCCAAAUAUCUAAAUCUUCCACUUCACUAAUCAAAAUUAUCUCGCUCUUUUUCAAUUUAACUUUCAAACCUGACACAAACUCAAGCCCAUUUCCAAUACUUCUAUUGCUUAACAUUAGCCUUGGGAAAAAAAAGAAAAGAAGAAACUGGAGUGUCAUAUGCAAACAAUACAUUUUGAUGCUCCAACUCACCUUGGUAAUCACCUUUUUUUAGCCUAUUUGUCAAGACAGCUAGGAGUUUAUAGAUGCUCCCAAAUCAGCCUAAAGUCCUUGAUAUCUUCCACACCUUCCUUUUUAGGAAUAUGAACAAAAAAUGUAGCAAAAGAUAUUCCAAUCUUGUGGUGGAUUGCAUUAGUCAACCUUUUUUUUUUUCUUGUUGAUUUGGAAAGAAAAAAGGUAUUCCUCAAGAUGUCCAUGCUCUCAUUUCUUGACAAAUUAGUAAUGUAAUCACCCUUAGAAAGAGAGCUAGAGCACAUAUAUCUUGAAUUAUAGCUCUCGUGUUCUAGUUGGAAGAAGAUAAUUAAGGCAACUAGAAUCUAAUUUGAGAAUAAUCUUGUGCAAAAUGCCAUAAGUUCUAGCAUGAAGCUGAUUUUCCAGAACAUUUAGAAUAAAUGGAAUUUACAAAAGAAGAUAAACUUAGAUGCUUUUCACACCUUAUAACUUUUUAUUUAUUUUCUUACUUAGCUUAUGGUAAGCUUAUUUUUUGGAUCUCUUUCACCAAAGGAAUUUUUUGUCAUCUUCCAACCUUUGUUUUUUUUACUCGCAUGCAAGGUUUGAUGUAUCAGCCAAUCUAGGUACACAACUUGACCAAGUUGUAUCCACCUCGGCCAAGCCUGUUCCAAUUCCAAUAUCCAAGUUUUUUUAACUUGGAGAUGAUAUGGUGGUCUGAGGGAAAAAUCGAAGAUGACUCAUUCUUUGAUGCUAUUUUUUAUUUUUUGUGGAAAAAUGGUUUGGGCCUAGAUUUCAUCCAUGUUUUCCAAUAAAAUGAGUAGAGAUGAUUGAGGUGCCGAUGUGGUGUGGAUUGAUUCAAAAGGGAGGAGCAGCCCGAAACUUGUGGAGAGGGAAUAUGUUUGAUUUAGAAAUGGAAUCUGGAUUUUUUGGAGCUAGAAAUAUGGUUUUAUUCUACUCAGUUGUAGUGAAAGAAAAAAUGGGUUUGAAAGAGAAGAAGAGGUUUUAUUCCACUCAGUUGUAGAGAGAGAAAAAAUGGGUUUGAAAGAGGAGAAGAGAGCAGGUGAUGAAGAAUAAUGAAUAAUGAAUGGGGUAAUGGGUAUUUGGGGUAAAUGGGGUAAUGGGUUUUUAUGGUUUACCCAGUGGGUAUUUGGGUAUUUAUAUAAUGAAUAAUGAAUAUAAUGUGAGAAAUAGAAAUAUGGGAAUGUAGAUAUAAUUUGUAAGAAUUUAAUUUAAUUAUAUUUUAGAUAAAUUACUCAAUUUUUUUAAUACAAUUACAUAAGGUGUAUAAAUUAAAUUUUGUUAGAUAAUAUAUUACUAAAAAAAUUAACAAUUACUUGUAUCAACAUUAAAUCAAAUGGCGAUAAAUCAUUUUAAAAUUUUUAUAAUUAAUUAAAUUUAACAUGAAGUUAUUGAAUAAAAGGACUUUUAGUAUUAAAAACUAAUCAAACACACUUUUAUAAUUAUUUAAAUAAUAUUAAUUAUAAUUAAACCUAAAAUUUUAUUAUAUUUAAUUGUAUAUAUUUUGCAUAUCAUCUGAUAUCGACCCAAGAUACUGAGACUAAUGUGCCUUAGGACCUCUCGAGUUAAUGACCAAGACCAUAACUUUGAACCAUGCUCGCAUGAUUGCCUGCUUUGUUUGUAUUAGUGCUCUGAGUUGGUUUUAUAUUUUAUUCUUAUCCGUACUCCUACAUUAUAUGUAUUAUAUUUAUAUCCCUUAUAACUUCUUAUUUCAUUUUCAUUUUUUAUUUAUUUCCAUGUGUUUCUUUUUUCUUUUUUUCGUUUUUUUCCCAGUGUGGUUUGAUGUUUGAUGCGAUUGAAGAUAUAUGAAUUUUAUGUAAUUAUCAUUUGUUUUGGUCAUUGAUCGGUGUCCACAAUGCAGGAAGUAUAUGAGCAACAAAAAGAGCUAAUUUUAAUUGGAGAGAGGGUUGUACUUGCAACUCUAGGUUUUGACCUCAAUGUUCACCACCCAUAUAAACCCCUUGUUGAGGCAAUGAAAAAAUUCAAAGCCGCACAGGAUGCUCUUGCUCAGGUUGCAUGGAAUUUUGCUCUUGCUCAAGUUGCAUGGAAUUUUGUCAAUGAUGGGUAUGAUUAAGAUGCUUUUUCAUGUCUCUCUUUUUUGAUAGUUCCAUUUCAAAUGGUCUCUCUUCCUCUCUUUCUCUUCUUCACUCACACACUGGAAAGCGGCUUGCAGGCUGAGGACAUCACUCUGCCUGCAAUUUAAGCCCGACCACAUUGCAGCAGGUGCCAUUUUCCUUGCUGCCAAGUUUCUCAAAGUGAAGCUUCCAUCGGAUGGUGAGGUGGUCUGGUGGCAAGAAUUUGAUGUCACCCCACGCCAGUUGGAGGGUUGGUUUCCUCCCCUUUUUUGGUGUAAAAUUGGUAUGGACUCAAUGGGACAGUCUUCAAACAGCUCUGUGGCACUGUUGCUGCAUAUGGAUGGACUGACUGUAGUGUUAUAUAACCUAUUGAGAUCUUGUUUCUGAGAAUUGACAAAAUCAGAUGAUUGUAGCUGUCCUUUCUAUUAUGUUUACAAUGAAUGGCACCAGGUAAGAAAUGGUGAGCAUUCUGUUAUAAACAAUAAAAAAUGGUUGGUUAUAGUCAUCUGAUCAAGUCUAGCAUUUUCCAGAAUGACUAGUAGAAUAAACCAAAUUUUGUGCCAUGGGCAUUGCUGUUUCAUUCAUGGGGCUGUCCUUUUGCGUCUUCUUCGGGUGAACCUUUUUGGAUUUCCCUAACAUUAUGGUUAUUUGUCUUGCAGAGAUUAGCAAUCAAAUGUUGGAACUGUAUGAGCAAAACAGAGUGCCUCCACCUCAAGGGAGUGAAAUGGAAGUUAACGCCAGUGGUGGACUAAACCAUAGGGGCACAACAAAAGCUCCAGUUGCCAAUGAGGAAUCCUUACCGGCUAAUAGUCAUGCUCAAGCAGGGGUUGGAGUGGUGUCUACAUUGAAGCCUGUAACUGCAAGGCAGUCAUGGCAUCGGCCAGCAUCUGACAAUUCAACUGCUGGUAAUCAUGGAGCACUCGUGAAAGGCACCCAAAAUCUAAGUAAUGAUAGUGGGAGCUCUGAGAUGGGUAGUGUUAUAACUGAUCAGAUGGCAGAUGGAGAGGCUCCGGGUGGAUUUAAAUCUGUGCCAGACCAGAUUGAGGGGGAUAAUGAAGAAGGGAAUGGUGGGAGAGAUGAUACCACAUCAACAAGAGAAUGGAAGAAUAAUGGUGCGUUACACAAGUCAGAGAGGGUGGUGGGUGGUCAAAAUAUGGAGACUCAAGAAGGAUCAUCACCCAAAUCACCUCAAGAUGGAAUGAUUAAAAUGAUUGACAAAGAUAAGGUGAAAGCAGCACUUGAGAAAAGGAGAAAGUCCCGUGGAGAGGUGAUCAGGAAAAAGGAGUUGGUGGAUGAGGAUGAUCUCAUUGAGAGGGAGCUGGAAGAUGGUGUUGAAUUGGAUGCCAAGGAUGAGAAGAUCAAGCGAGAGAGAAGGCAGAGCUGGUCUAAAACUGAGAGUCCCUGUUAUACCAAGGACCAAAAGCAUACAGGAGAUAGAAACCCCCUUGGAACGGAGGUAGAGAAUAUCGAAGAAGGGGAGAUGUUGGAUGACGCAUCGCCCAAGUUCAACAAUCGGAAGAGAAAGGAAAGGAGCCCACCUGAUAUACAGUCGGAGGCCAAAAAGUGGACUGAUUCUGCUCCUGGGUGCCACCACCGUAGUAAUCACCAAGGGCAUCCUUAAAAGUAGAAUUAUGUGAGGCCAUUUACUUACAGUAUUAGUAUAUGAUUUAUAUCUGGGAUGCCAAGACUUUUUCCAAGUAGUAGUAUUACACUAUUAUAUGAAUUGGAAUUGGAGGGUAGCUGGUUAUGGCAUGGUGUUUUUGGAUGUUUCAGUGGGGUUACUGGAAGGUGAUGGGAGGGCAUUUAUUUAUUUAUUCAUUUAUUGCCACGUUCAUGUUUGCUGCACUUGGUGAUUUAUUAUUAUGUUGUAUUACCCUGCCCCUCUAACAAUCACAACUCCAUAGCUAAUUCUUUUUGUUAGUGAUUAUUAUAUUCCUUAAAUAUCGAUAAGCCACGGAAUGCAUCAGUACAUACAAUUUCCUCUAGACGAUUGUUUUGUUUCUGUAGAAAUGGAAUUUGAGGCACCCAAAUGUUAUAUGAAAUAGGGUGGUGUUUGGUUCAUGAGUGGUGGGUCUCUUAAUGGUACUUUCUUAGCGAGAAUUGCAGCCACCCUCCACCACAGGGCUAGGUCAUGGAGAACACACGAGACGAGACCCAUGGGCCAAGCCCAUGGUGCCCCCGUCUCUUAUCCUCUCUCUCAACGUUAAUCACAGUCACUUAUCCAAUUUAAGAUUCUCAAACUAUCAAAAUUUAAUACCAUCUAAAUUCAGUUCAAGUGACAAUACUAAAUUUUAUAAAAUUAAUAUCUUACCUUGAGAAAAAUUAGAAAUUAAAAAGUUGUGCUAUGGUCUAUGAGGCUAUGAGAGUGGUGAUGGAUGGGCGGUUCAUAAUUCCCCAUAUAAAUUAUAAUGUUCGAGUGACUAUGCAACCCACACGCCUGUACCUGUCUCUUAUCCACUCUAGAUUUUAGGAUAGAAAAAGAGAGAGAUUCUAUCGCAUUAACCCACAAACCAAAAUCCCACACCCAAUCACACCCACCCACCUCACCCUCCACCUUAUCCUCCUCUCCACCAAUCCCACCUCCCUUGGAAUCUAAAAACCAUUCCUCAGUCCUCCGUCCUCAACUCUUCCAUCUCCAUUUCUGUCCAACUCCCCUGCCAACUCGCCAACAAUGUCUCUCACCAUCCCCACAAACCUCUCCAAGCCCCUCAAGCCAAGGCUCAGCUCUCCCUCCUUCCAAAAGGCAAGGCCUAUGAUAGUGUGCUCAGCCUCAACUGAGCCACAGCCCACCAACAAAUCUCCACUCCAAGCAUUCUCUGCUGCGCUUGCACUCUCCUCCAUCAUUCUAGCUGCUCCAGUCCCUGCCUAUGCUGACAUCGCCGGGCUCACACCCUGCAAGGAGUCCAAACAGUUCGCCAAGCGGGAGAAGCAGGCACUGAAGAAGCUGGAGUCAUCGCUGAAAUUGUACGCGCCGGACUCAGCCCCAGCGCUGGCCAUAAACGCGACGAUCGAGAAGACAAAGAGGAGGUUCACAAACUAUGCGAACCAAGGGUUGUUGUGUGGGUCGGAUGGGCUGCCACACUUGAUAGUGAGCGGGGACCAGAGGCACUGGGGAGAGUUCAUUACACCAGGGAUAUUGUUUUUGUACAUUGCUGGAUGGAUAGGGUGGGUUGGAAGGAGCUAUCUGAUAGCCAUCAGGGAUGAUAAGAAGCCAACACAGAAGGAGAUCAUCAUUGAUGUGCCUUUGGCUUCUAGGUUGGUCUUCAGAGGCUUUAUUUGGCCUGUUGCUGCCUACAGAGAGUUCGUCAAUGGUGAUCUCAUUGCCAAGGAUGUCUAAUUAUUUCUCUUCUAAGUUCUACCAUCACCACCACCAGGUUUAUAUUAUUAUUUGCCUUUUCUUUUCCCUAUGUUUUAAUAUGCUUUGAUCUAUCCAUGUUACACAUUGAAAGACUUGACCAAUUGAGAUUUGAUUUGAGAUCCACUGGGUAUCCAUUCCCUCUAAUCCCUGUUUAAGCUGGGUGGAGGCCCUCACAAUGUUUAAUUUGAUUCUCAAGCAUUUCACAUAGCCUUGACAACUACAUCACAUGGGCCAAGAAGUCCCCAAGAGUUCUAUGAUUGAUCUCUUGAUAGUGAUUAAUGUAAUGUGAUAGAAAAUUAAGCUAUAGUAUAGUCUUUAAUGAUUAUUGACUUAGUUUUUCAUCAUGUUUGGAUCAGUGGGAAAGACUUUGGCUGACAGGAAGACAAGGCCUGAGAUUUGGGAGUUGCAUGUGAGAGGAAGAGAGGAGUGGAGGCCAGUGGGGGAGAGGUGAAAGAUUUCUUGUAUUUAUUUUGUAAACUUAAUUGUAUCUAAUGCUUUGUGUUGAACACUAAGUCUGCCUUGUCUUUCCAUCUAUGAUUAUUUACACCCCUCUUGCACUUACCCUCUUCCUCAUUUUUCUUUCCCAUUUAGAAUGAUCGACUAACAAAAGAAUUUAUUGUUUUUAUAGAACAAAAAAGACAUUACCAUUGAAGGAAAAAUUCAUAGAACCAUCUCAAGUUUAAACAUGGAGUUUGUCUAAACUGGUGGAACCAUUUCCUUCCACUGCUAGUAUCCAUUUCAUUUAUCUCAUCUUUAAACUUUUCACUUCAAAAUUUACUUCCCUUUUUUCAGUUUAAGCUUCAAUUCUUUGAAAUGAGACUUAUGUUAGAGAACUUGGAAGCUAGAAAUUCAUAUGGGCCUCAAUGGGCCAUAUAUUAUAGCCCAAAGCUCUUGGGCCAGGAUUGGGCUUCAUGAAUUAUUAAAUGGGCCUCCUCUCUAACAGCUAUUUGUUCACUAUUUUUAGUUGAUUUAUCAUAAUAAAAAAUUAUUUAUUAUGAAAAACCAAAAUCCCUUUUGCCUAUAUUUUAAUUCACAUUCAUUCUUAUUCUUAUCUUCAUCCAUCUACUGAAAAACCAAACUCACCUUUAAUAUUUUCUUGAGCCUUCCCUUGGAUGUUAGGAAAAUUGGGCAAGAAGGAUAAUUGCAAAACCAUUCAAGAGUGAAUAUUUUCUCCAUCUUUCCAAACUUUUCAGUCUUUUUAAUUUGGGUCUGGAUCUGGAUCUGUUCAGAAGUAGGUGGUGACUUCUUCCAGCACCUACCUAUUGAAAUUGAAAAGAGGAUGGUGUAGCUUAUUUCAUCAUGGAAAGAUGUUUGUCAAAGAAGGCAUGCAUGGCAAGACUUUAGUUCCCUACUAGUUUCACACUAUAAAAACCUUUCAUGUCUAAGGGUUUUAAUUUUUAAGUUUUUUUAAAUCUCCAUCUUGAAAAGAAGAACAAGAAUUUUGAAUAGUAAGGCAUUGGGGCAUGAUCCUCUACAGUCAAAUAUAAUAAUCCCCUCAACUACUGCACCAUCUAUUCAAUGGGAAGUCAAAUGUUCACAAUCCACUAUUUAAUUACCCAUCAUAUAAAGUUAUAACCUAUUUACAAUAUUGUUAAUGACAAAGACCACCCUUUUCAAACCUAAAUAAAUGCCUCCUAAUACUACCAUCAUCAAUCAUCAAUCAUCAAUCAUCGCGGCUGCCCGUUGCCGCCACCACCGCCGCAGCCACCACCACCAAUGUGGAUGUAUAGUAAGGAUCUUGAAAUGGAGACAUACAGAUAUAAAGAGACAGAAAAAAAAAAAAAAAGGAAGAAAGAUGGGGUACAAAAUCUAAGAGUAACGAUAUAUAUAUUAUAUAUAUAUGUAAAAAAAAAAAGCAUAUUGAGAGAUUGGGAAAGGUAGGUAGGUAGGUAGGUUGCUAGCUAGGGUACCACACAGACUCUCCCAAGCUAUCAUGGUCAACAACCAUGUCCAUUUCAAAAAAUGGUUUAGUAUGUGAAGGGGGCAUGAAGUUGGACGAGGGGGAGGGGGAAGCAGUACUGUUGGAAGGGCUAAUGGGAUGACGAGUAGUGGAUAAAGAGGCUGCCUGCCGCACCCUCAAGUGCACCACCUCAGCUUGAGCUAAGGCCAGUUGAGUUUGGAGCAAGUCAAUUUGUUGUUGCAGUGAUGAAAUGGCCCCAACGCAUCCAUAAACCGGAUCCCGAACCCUUGCAUUUGCUUCAUACACCAUGCUACUCACUGCAUCUCCUCUCUGCUCAACCGGCAGCUCCUGCAUCCAUUUGAAUCUAAAUCUUGUAAGUUCAAAAAUAUUUAUUUAUUUAUUUUUUCCAAGGGGGUGCAGGUGCAGGGUCAGUUACAUGACACCUACCAACCCUUCUUUUGGACUUUAAUCGGUAGCAGAUUCUAUAAAUGUGCAUAGUGGGGCCUCCCUCUUGUGAGAAAUAAGAUCUCUUUUGGUGGCCCUAAUAUUUGAUGAUAAGGACACCAUCCUUCUAUGAAAAAGGACUCUGCCCCUCCCUCCCUACCCUACCUAUAAACCACUAUACCACCCUCACUCCCAACUCUCUCCACUAUCCCAAUACGAAACAUAAUCAGAGAUUCAGAUGACAACCAACUUCACGUGCUGCCAUCUUUUACUAGAAAUUUUGACAAAAUUAAAUACAAAAACUUCACGUGACGUGAUAUACCCGUUACAAAAAUUAACUCCACAACCUCCAAACCUAAAAAUAUCAUUUGUUUAUUGUGGUAAAAUGCAACGAAGAGAUGGAUGAAUGGGACAACGGUCACUGAGAUCACCUUGAUCUUCUUCUUUUCAUUGGUUGCAUUCUAUCUCUUGUGGACGAUGAAGGUCAAUUGUUAGAUAUUUACAACAAUGACUGGUAAAUUAGUUUAAGACUGUUUCUCUCCUACUCUGUAAAAAGUAGGGUCUAAAUUAAGAACCACUUCCAAGCACUUCCUCCAUGUGGGGUUUUUAGACAGAUUGCCAGAAUGGAAGAUGUCCCUUAAAUGAAAGAGGAUCAAGUGUUUUACUAAAUUUAGAUGACAAUUCUCUUCAAAACUUGGGAUAUGAAAAUGUGAGUAGGGAAAUGGAAAGGUAGUGGCGAAAGAAACCCUAAUUAAGUUAUUUUAGUGUUCAUGUUGAGAGGGAAAGAGACAAAAAAGAAGGGAAAAAUUAAGGAACAACCAACCUGUAACAUCUUGUUGACAUUGCUAGCACCAAAAACCUUGUGGACAUUAGCAAACUUUUGGGGCUCAUCUGCAGGAAAAUAAGGAGCAAAAACACAGUCCUGAGCACAUCUUCUCCUAAGAAGCUUGCAAGCUGCACAUGGAGAGGCUGCACCUUGCUUCCUACUACUCUCCUUCAUCUUCAAACCCUACCCCUCCACCCUCCACCCUCCACCCUCCACCUUCCACCCCUACUCUCUUUUUAGGGUAAGCAGCCAAGGACAACUUACCCUUAUUUUGUAGGUCACUUUGGCUCUUGAAAGGGACAAAACUAGGACCUGGCUUAUGAGUAGAAGCUGCAAGAAAGAAAGAGAGAAAGAAACAAGGGCAAAAAGAAAGGAACAAAGAGAUCAGAAGAAAAGUCUAAAGGAGAGAGGAAAGGAGUGGAGGGCAUGAGGGUGAGGGUGAGGGGGUGUUGCACAUUAUAUAUACAUAAACCAAUGGAAAGAUGCACCUCCCAAGGGUCCCACAAAACAACCCUUUAGAUUUUGCCACCUUUCAUGUCUUUUUUAUUUAUUUUUUCUUUUUUUAAUCUUAAAAUUUGCUCUAAGAUAAUAUUGUUAUGCUUAUGCAAUAUUCAUACUAUUCAUGUAAUGUAAAUAAUGAUAAAAAGUAUAAGGCAUUAGCUUAAUUAAAGUGGAUUGUUAAAAGAAGGAUUAUAUAUCAUAUGAAUGAGCAUGCAUCACAAUUAUGCUAACCCCAUCAAACCUUAAUUUUAAAUUCAUGUUUAUAAUAUAAAGUAUAUAAUGGUGUUGGGGUUGGAUAUGGCAACCAAGGGCUCCCCAUGUAACCUCAAUUAAUUGAAGGUUUGGCAUUAGUGAGUAUAAAUUCUAUUUUCAUAAAGUUAAUAAUUUUUUUUAUAUAAAACCUUUUUUUUAAUAAAAAGAUAUUGAGAAGUAGGAUAUCUAUAAAUUCGAUUAAUAGAUCAGUCACAAUAAUUUUCGAAAGCAAAUUUCGUAAUAUUUUUAGGCAAAAUUGAACGUAUUUGCUUUUUUGUAAAAACUUUAAUAUUAAAUAAAUUAUAUUCAUGUUAUUUUUAUUUUCAUUUUCAUUUAAAUCUCAUGGAUAGAAUAUUUGAAGCCCUUUAUUUCAUGUCCUAAAUAGUUUUUAAAAUACAAGACAAUUUUUACCCAUUAUAUCACUCAUACUCUAUUUGGAUGUUGGAUGUUGAAAAUUAUGAUAUGGGAAAAAAAAAAGAGAAAAAAAAUAAAAGAAAUAAAGAAAUUAAGAAAUUAAGAAAUAGAUUUAAACUCAAUAGAUUAUUUAUUUUAUCUUUUAUAGAAAAAUGAAAAUUUAGAAAAUAUAUAAAGUACCAAAUAAAUUUUAUUGCAAAUGUUUUUUAAUUAUAUUUUUUUAUGGUAUACCAAAUAAAAGAAUUUAAAUUUUCUUGUACUUUUUUUUUUUAUCCAUUCUGCAGUGAAUACUUUUCAUAUUUCAAAUGCAAUUUAACUCUUCUAAUAAAUAUUUAAUAUUUUUUCAUGCAGGUAAAGAAUAUACUACAAGACGCCCUACACAGCUAGUCUGCUCCAUUUUUUCCUCUACAAAAAUCAAAAGCCAUGCAAGGUGAAGAGAACAUUCACACUAUUAAUUGAAGUAUCAGACACACAACCAAAGAAUCCACUUGCUAGAUUUUUUUAUUAUUCUUUUCUUUUCAAGAUGCAUAUAAUAUUCCAUUAAAAAAAAUUGUACGGAUUUCUCAUCAAUUUUUAAAAAAUAAUUGCUCAAAAUGGUUUGGUGCGGGCACUUUGGUAGUUAUAAUUUUUAUAUUUAUUAAUCAAAUAAAUUUUGUGAGCAAUGAGUUGGUACCCUUUGAGUUGUGCACAGUUGAUCAUAAAGAAUAAUUUGAAUUGUUUUUUUUUUGUUUUUUUGGUCAAUGUUAAAGUAGAAUUACCAUCCCACCAUAAUCAAAGGUUAUGAUGACAAUAUGGCCUAUAAUUAUAAUUAAUCUCAAUCAUAUCAAAUUAAUAUUUGGUGUGAAAUAGUAUAAUAUUUACCUUGCUUAUAAUUAAUUAUGGUUUUACAUUUCAUCACACUUAAUUAUUAUCAUAAAAAUUGCAUGGAAUGGGUUAUCAUGCCUGGAAAAUAAAUAUGUGAAGUUGUUUAGGGAUUCAGAGCUAUUUCAACCAUCUAAUAAAGACCUAAUAUAAAUAUUGAUUUAAUAAAUAUAUAUAUAUUAACAAUGUUUUAAAAAUUGGAUCAAAUUGAUUGAACCAUUGAUCGGAGUUUGAUCCGAUCUGCUCUGACCUUUGAGCCAAGUACACAUCAAACUGGUCUUGAACUAGCUACAUCGAGAAUUGAAUAAAUAUAAAUUUAUGUUGAAUAACCAAUAAAGUUUGUAAUUUUGAUAUUAUGUUAAAUAAUCAAUUUUUCAAAAUACUUAAACUCGUAGAAUUUGGAAUUACAAUGUAUAUUAUGCAUUCUAACAAUGUUCAUGUGUUGCAAAAUAUAUUUACUAGUAGCAAUGGUUGGACUUUUGUUUUAAUUUUAUUUGUUUUAAUUUGUUACUUUAUUCUAACCUUAUGUGCUUAAUUAAUAAUGCCAGACCAUGCAGUAUCAUGCCAUUUUGGACAAAAGGAUGAUAUGCUUGCUUUCAAAUCAAUUCUUAUUAUUUUAUUCACAAUAACAGCUAGAAAGGGCUGGCCCUUGAUUAAUAAUAAUAACAAAUUUAAAAAAAUGAAAAUAAUGAUAAAUUUUUAAAAUUAUGAUAAUAAUAUAUUUUUUUCAUAAAAAAAAUGUUCUUAAUUUGUUGCUUUAAAAUUUUUUACUUAAUUUUUUUUUACUUUAAGUAAUAAAACUGUUUUGUAAUUUUUACUUAAAAUUUAUUUUAAAUCAUCAAAUUAACAUGUUUAACCUCAUUAAUUUUAAUUAAUAUAUAUUUCAUUGAUUUUAAUUCUUUUUUUUAAUUAAUUUUAAGUAAUAAAUUUAUUUAUAAAACAUCCAUAUUUAAAUUAUUUUAGAUAUAUAAGAUAACUUCAAAAUAUUUGUUAUAAAAAAUGAGUUAUGUAUGCCAAGUCAUGGUUGUUAAAUAAACUCUCGUUAGAUAGGAACAAAUAAGACAAAGAAAAAAAAUUAAGAUUAAACAUAAAUUAACUAUUUUAAUUUAAUACUUGAAGUUAUUUUUAAUUUUAAGUUAUGAUAUUAAGUUAUUUUAUCGAAUAUAUUUAAUUUAUUUAAUAACUUAAACAAAGUUAUUAAGUUAUUUUAAGUGAUUAAGUUGAUUUACUCAACACCUUCUAAAUAAUUACCUUUUUUGUUUGAAAAAAAAUGAUUUGAAUGAUUUUCUAUAUCAUCCUUUCCACCCAAUAAAAUGGAGACAAAUAAAAACAAAAUGAUUUCAUAAAUGGGUUAGUCAAAGAAAACAUAGAAAUUUGGUGAAAUGAAAUUGGUUAGUCAAAGAAAACAUAGAAAUUUGGUGAAGUGAAAGGACUGGUUCAUUUUUUCUAGUCUAAGAAAAUUCUCCCAACCAAUUUCAAACUAGAAACCAACCCUAAAGAACCGUCACUUCAUAAAAAGUGAUAAGCAAAGGAAAGGAAAAUAUUCAAACCGUUUGACACAUGUUAAUGAUUUGCACUAAUUAGUUAUAUAUUUUAGUAAAAGACAAUUAAAUUUCAAUAAAAAUGAACAAGGAACUUUAGUAAUUUUAUUUUUUUUACCAGUUAUUUGAUAAAAUUUAAUAUUUAUUACUUAACGAUUUAAAUUGACUUUAAAUUAAAUUAUACUUAAGUUAUUUUACUUAAAACCUAUCACUUAAUUCUUACUUUAAACAUUAAGACUGUUUGAUAAAAUUAAUAUAAAAUUUAUUUUAAAUUAUCAAAUUAAUACAUUUAUCUUUAGAAAUUAUAAUUAGGGUAAAGGAGAUCGAGUAAUAAUUGAGAUUGUGGAAUAGUAAAGAAGAUCGUGGACGUAAUUAAGAAAUAUGAUGGUAAAAAGGUAAAAUAAAGAUAUUAACUUAAGAAUAAUUUAAUUAUUUUUACUUAUUAUUUAAAAUUAUUUUUGACUUUAAAUCAUAUCAUUAAAUUAUUUAUUCAUAUUUCAUUUAGUUAAUGAUUUAAAUUAAAUUAUUAAAUCAUUUUAAAUUAUUAAAUUGAUUGAUCAAACACCUACUUAAUUUCGCAAUGGAUUUAAAUUAUUUGAUAGAAUGAAUUUUAAAAUUUCAAUCAAAUUUAUGUUGUUUGAGAAUCAUUUCAAAAUAUUAUUUUUAAUUGGUGUAUUAAGCUUCUUCUUUUCCUUAUUACGGGGGAAAGUACAGGCACAUUCAAAACUCAUCUGGGUUAAUUCUUUUCCAUUAAUUACUAGCUAUUAAAUUUAGUUCGUUUCAUAGUGAUUUUAUAAAAUUACUUUUAAUUUUAAAAAUAUUUUAAAAAAUUAUUACAUAUUUAACAAAAUUUAGGAAACAUUUUUAAAAUUUUGAAAAAUCAUUUAUAAUAUUGAAAAAUCACUUUUAUUGUUUUUUUUUUUGAAAAAACACUUAAUAAAUAAUUCUUCUAAAAACACUUUAUGAAAAAACACUUUUGCUGAAAACUUGUUUGACAGUAAUUUUAGAAAAUGUUUUUAGCCUAAAAAGUGUUCAUAUAUAUAUAUAUAUCAAAUUGUUGUUUCACAAAUUUUAUAAAAUAAUUUUAAAAAUCACUUAUAGUCUUGAGAAGUUACUUAUAGUGUUGUUUUAUGAAGCAACACUUGAUAAGUGAUUUUCCUAAAAUUACUUACAUAUAAAACAUUUUUAUUAAAAAUACUUCGUGUAAAAAUAUUACCAAAUACAAAAAUACUUCAAAUAAAAAUUUUAACGCGCAUUCUCAGAGUCUGUAUAACAGUAAUUUUAGAAAAUGCUUUUAACUUUUUUAAUAAUUAAAUUUUUUUAUCAUUCAAAUGUUAUAAAAACGUUUUAUAGAAUCAUUAUAAAACGGUAAUCUCAAUCACGUGAUAUGCAAUUUCACUCAAAAUUACAAGUAAUUAUUGAUCCAUUCAAUCAUUUUAGAAAAACAAAGACAAAAUUAUCCCUACACAAAUGUUAUGAAUAAAUUGGACGGACAUUAUAAAAACCAAUGGACCAAUCUCACCAAUAAUAGCUAUUUUAUUUUUAUUAUAUGUUGUGAUCCAAAUGGGGUGGCUUAAGGGGGGACAGAGGUGACCCCUAAAUGUGAUUAAAUAAAUUAAUGGUCAAUUAAGCAAAUGAUGAAAGAGCACGUGUACAUGUGAGUAGAGAAGAAAAAAAAAGAAAAAAGAAAAAGGGUAGUCAACCACCACCCUCCUCCUCCUCCCCCUUCUCCUCUAGGUUUAAAAUUUGAAAACAGAAAAUAUAUUUUGGUUUGGUCACACUUGUGGGGGCAUUCCUACAUUCGUCUGUCUCCACUAGUAAUUCGUGGUUUAGAUUUGGUCAACACUUUGGCAUAGGGAGAGACCCCAUUCUAUCUUUACCAAAUCUCACACAUUAAAUUGUUUGUCUCAUCAAAUUUUCAUAGCCUUUCCACCAGUCACAUAGGAAUGUUAUCCAAGAUUAGAUAUGUAGGGAUAAAAAUAGUUGUAAAAUUAAAAAAAAAAAAGAAAAAAAGAAAAAAGAAAUAGGGUCAUAUUAUGGCAUCCUAUUGAAAAGUAUCCGUCAAAUCACAAAUUGUCAUAUGUCAUAAAGGAUUUUAUUUCUUUGAUUCUUGCCAAAUGAUACAUAAAUUUCAUUUCUUCAUACUUAGAUACCAUUUUCUUCCAUCUCAAUCCAAUCUUUUCUACCUAAACUGAUGUAUUUGUACUAUUAUUUAACAUUAUAGCAUUCGUGGGUGUUUGGUAUUAAGUUAUUAAAUAAAUUAAGUAUGUUUGGUAAAAUAAUUUAAUGGUGUGAUUUAAAAUAAAAAAUAACUUUUAAGUAAUAAGUAAAAAGAAUUCACUUAUUCUUAAGUCCACAUAUUCAUUUUAUAUUUUUAUCUUCGUUUGACUUAAUUACAUCCACGAUAUCCUUUACUACUUCACGACUUUUAUUAUUAUCCGAUCUCAUUUGCCCUAAUUAUAAUUUACAAGGAUAAAAUAUGUUAAUUUUAUUAUUUAGAAUAAUUUUUAAAUUAAUUUUAUCAAAUAAUCUUAAUAUUUAAAAUAAUAAAUUUUAAGUUAACAACUUAAGUAUAAUUUAAUUUAAAAUCAACUUAAGUCAUUAAAUUAUAACUAUUAACUUUUACCAAAUGUCCCCUUAGUCAUAUACUUAAAUGGUUUAAAUUACAAGUUCGAUAUGAUAACAAAUUAGGAUUAUAGUAAUUUAUUACAAAGAAAUUGGAAAGAAACUAGUUUAAUCUUAUUAUAUAUAAUUAGCAUUUUCAACCACAAUGUUAAUAAUUUUUAAUGAAAUCUUUCUAUGUCAUGAAUCUAUUGAUAUUGUUAAAUAAGAAGUUGAGAUGUCAUACAUUACUAAUGAAAUGACUUAAAUAGUUUCACUUAUCGUCAAGUGAGAAUAAUGAGAGUAUUAGAUGAUGUUUGUUUUUUGGUUAAAUAGAAAAAACCAAAAUAUUUAACAUUUUCUAUUUAGUUAAAAGUAAUAUAUUGAUAUCAAUCAAUAUAACUAAAAUUUUAAUAUAUUGAAUAGAAAAAGCUAAAUAUUUUGAUAUUUUCUAUUCAGCCAACAAAAGUAACACCAUCAAAGGAUUAAUUGACUAGAAGGAAUAAAAUAAUUUCAAAUUUGUAAAAGUAGCCCCUCUCAUAUUUGAACUUAAAAAAUAAUCGAUUUUUUGAUAUAAAUGUCUUUCAAUAUUUAUAGUAUAUUCAUGUAAGUUUUGGAAGAAAAUAUAAUUUUUUUAAAUAUAUAUAUUUUUGUCAAAAACAUGUUAUUUUUUAGACUAAAAUACUCGGAAGGUUAAAUUUGUAAAAUUGAUAUUAUUUCAUUCCUUUUGAUCAAAUACCCUUAAUAAUGAUACUUUCUUAUAAAUUCCCAAACAAAUAUCCUUUUUCUCUUAAUUUCACAUAUUGAAUUCAUAAUUAUUCAAUUAAUUAGCCUAAAGGUCUUAAACUAAAGCCUAAAGUGGAAGGUACAAGAAUGUCCCCUUAGUGAAAGACAUACAACUAUUUUACAGCCUAUAUGUCCUCUUUAGAGCUAGUAAUUUUUUAUCAAAUUCUUUUCAUCUUGUCCCUUUAAGUUUCCUUUAUUUCAACAUUAUCUUUCUUAUUUUUUUUCCAUUCAUAUUUUUGACAUACAAAUUAUAUCAUUUUUAUAGAAAAAAUUUCAAAUAUUUAAAAAAAAUAUUUAUACAAUUUUUUAUUUUUUUAGGAAAAUUUAUUAUUAUAAAUGUGUUAAUAUCUAACUUAAAUAUUAAAUAUCUAUAAGAUAGUAGAUUGAAUAAGAUCAUAGAGAAUAUAUGAUAAAUCAAUUUAAUAACUUAAUAUGAUAAUUUAAUCUAAAUUAAAGAGUCGUAUUAAAUAAUUAAAUAUUAGUCAUUAAGUUUCACCGAAUAUCAUCUCAAUAAAUUGUUAUUUAUUUAUUAAAAUUCUAAAUUUAUCAUAAAAUUUUAUCUAAUUAAUUUGAAUAAAUCUUAAUUACUUAAUUCAUAUUUAAUAGAGUUUUAAUUUCACCAACUUGUGGCUUAUUACACGUAAAGCUUGUACAACAACUAUCAAGUGAAUAAACAACCAACCUUUUGAUUUUAGACAAGGAAAAUAAAAUUGGAUUUACUUUAUUAAAUUUUAAAAUUAAAAAUAAAAGCACAACAAUAAACAUAUUUUGAAAACAAAAGUAAAAAUUUUCUUUUAAAAAUGAUAAAUAGAAAAUAAACUAUCAAUUCUCCAAAAUGCAAUAAUUUAAUUUGUAUCUAAAUACAAAUUCUAAUGAUUGCCAAGACAAAAUUGAAAAAUAAAUAAAAAUGAAAAAUCUCUCCUUUGUUAUAGAAUAAAUGAGUUAGAAUAAGGAGAGACUAAGCAUUGUUUAGCAAUUAUUUUCGAGAACAGUUUUCUGUUCUUCAAAAUAAAAAAUAGAAAAACAUUUUUGACAACUAGAAAAUUGUUUUCUAUAUUCUAUUCUUAAAAAUAGAAAAUAAGAUGUUUUUAAAGAACAUAUUUUAGUUAUUUUCACUUGUUUUAUUAGGACCGUUUUAACAAAUAAUUAUACAAAUAUGUAGAAUGAUUAAAAACAAAUCACUAGAUAUAAAAAUUAUUUUAAAAACAUCAAAAACAUGUUAAAAAUAUUUCAGGUUUGCAAACAUACUUUUGUUCUAUAAAACAUUAGAAAAGAGUUUUAAAAAAUUGUUUUCAAAAAUUAUUUUUCAAAACUCUUUGAAAAUGGUUACUAAAUAGGGUUUAAAUGUUUACAAAAAAAAAUUCUUUUAUUUCAUUAGUAAACUUCCCUUCUUUUAUUUCAUUAGCAUAUUUUCAUUUUAUAAAUAGCCGUAAAGAAAUUUACUUUAGUAUUACAUUGAUUAUCUACAUUGAGAAUAGUGAUGUUUACGAUCAUCCAUAAAUUCUCAUAACGUGACAAAUUCUCAACAUACAACUUUCAAUUUUAUAACAUUUUCCCUUGGAUGAUCAUAAGAAUUUACAUUGUUAACAUCUUACUAGGAAAAACUCAAUUAGGACAAAACCUAUACGAAAGAAAAAAUAGUAUGAUAUAUCCAUAUCAAUAUUCUCCUUCUCAUGUAGACAUAAUUAUACUUUUUUCAAUGCUUCAACUUAUAAAUCUCUUAAUUAAUUUCCUCAUUCUAAUGUUGUAUCUUAACUUUUUCAAUGAUAAUAUUUAUGAAUCGAUAUGCUAGAUUAUCAUAUGACCGCAUUUGUUGAACAUCAAUUCCACCAUUUUCCAAGAGCUUAUGAGUAUAUAAGAACUUAGGGCAGAUAUGCAUAGCUAGUUUUAUCACCUUUAACAAAUCCUCCUUUAAUUUGUGUAGUACAAACUACAUUAUCUUCAUAGAACUUGGUAGAAUUUCUUUGAUAGAGGAUAGGCCACAUGAUUCUUGAAUAUGUUAGGUCAUUGAUCCUUAACAUACACAUUCACGACUUGCUUCAUAAAUUAUUGGUAUCUUUGAAUGAUUUCAAGAGAUUGCUACCAUUGUUUUGUUAACCAAUCUACAUGACAUUGGUGAAGAUAAAUACAUACCUUAUUAGGGAUUGAGCUUAAUGAGAGUUUUAAAGAUAGCCAACAUCUACAUAUCUAUCCAACUAAGUCCAACAUCUACGUAUCUAUGAAACUAAGUUUUUUUUUAUCAUUUUGAAUAACAUAAACCCAUGUUAGUUGUUCCAUGAAUAUAUCUUAGUACAUGUUUAACCCUAUAUAAUGUUUUCAAGUUAGUAUGAAACUAUAUCUUGCAAUCAAGUAGAUGGAGAAUGUAAUGUCUAGUCAUGUACAAUUUUCAAAAUAUAUCAGUAUACCAAUAAUAAUGAGAUAAGGUAUUUUUAGAUCAAGUAAUUCUUCAUUUUCUUGUUUAGGUCAAAACAUAUCUUUAUUCAUUUUAAGUGUAGGAACAACUACAAGGGAACUAAGUGGGCAUAAUUUGUUCAUAUGAAAGCACUUUAGUACUUUCUAUGUAUAUAAAUUGAUGUACUACCAUGCCACUUGGAAAAUACUCAAUUUGAAAGCUGAAGAUAAAAUUUGGUUUUCUAAGAUCUUUUAUUUCAAAUUAUUUCUUUAGAUGAUUAAUUGUUUUUAUGAACUUUACAAGAGUUUCAAUAAGAUUGCAAUAAUUACAAACUCUUACUUUAAUCUAUACAAAGACAUAAUUUUAAUCAUAUAUAUUAUGAUCAUGCUUGAUCUAUAAAGUGAUACAAUAUAUUUAAUUAUUACUUCGAACAUUAUAAUCCUUUAAGGGAUUAUUUGUUUCAAGCAUUUCGAAUCCUUUAGAGAUUUUGACAUAUAUGGACCUAUAUAAAGAUAUUAUAAUUACAUCAUAACGUAUAUAUCAAAUCCUUUAUAGAUUAUCGAUCAUAUUGAGCCAUUAUGAAAGUUAAUACAAAGUAUGCUAUAACUUUUUUUUUUUUUUAUCUCAAUUAUAUUUUCAUAGAGUAACCCAUUUGUGUCUACCAGAUUUUUACAUCUUCAAUUGUCAAACUUCAAGCCAUUUAUAUCUAGUAGACUUUAUGUCUUAGGAUAUUAAACUUUAGGUUAUUUAUGUUCAAUCAAAUUAAUAUUUUUAAGUAUUAGAUUUCAAGUCCUAAUAUUUAUAUAAACAAACUUAAUUUUGUCUCAAUUGUUUAUCUCCACUUUAGUUAAUUAUUUUUAUAUUGACAUUCUUGAACAAUUCAUGAUUUGGAAUCUUCAUUAUUCCUUAUGAGGUCUAGAAAGUGUUGAGAUGUGUGAGGGGUAAUUUUAUUUAAGAGGUAUUUUAGGUAUUUUACAUAUGUAUAGGUUGUCCUAAUUUCUCAUUAUAUAAGGAUUAUAAGGACGAUCGCUUAAUUUUUAGGGUGAGAGUGCAUGAAAACAAAGAAGAGGUGUUAGGCAUGAUAUCACUAGUAUUUUACACUCUAAUCAUAGUAGAAAUUCUAUAGUAGCAAAGUAGAUGCAACUCUCAUAUCAGAAGUGAACUAUUAUAAAUUUUGUGUGUGCUAUCUAUUUUUUUCUUGUGUUCUAUUGCUUUCUUAAAUGGAGAUUUUCUCUUAACAAGUGAUAUUAGAGCUUGGCUUGAGUGAGAACAAUGAAUGAUGAUGAUGGAUCUUGGUCUGGACUUGACAAGUUCGAUAGUAUAGAUUUUGCAUUAUAGGGAAUGCAAAUCAAAGAUUAUCUUUAUGGUAAAAAGUUACAUUUACAUUCCCUUGGGCAAAAUUAAAAGCAACAUCAGAUGCCAAUUGACAUCUUCUUGAUAGGCAAGUGUUGGAAAUCAUCAAAUUAACAUUGUUCAAGAACAUGGGACAUAAUAUGACAAAAUGGAAAAUCACUACAGGGCUAAUGGAAGUCCUACCUAACAUAUAUGAGAAGUUUUCUACAAAUAACAAAGUGCAUCUCAUGAAAAAAUUAUUUAUUUUGAAGAUGGGAGAAAAGGCUUCAAUGGUAGAGCAUUUAAAUGAAUUUAACAUGAUUGUUAAUCAAUUGUCCUUAGUUGAAGUCAAUUUUGAUGAUGAAGCUUAUGCCCCAAUUCUUCUAGCUUCACUACCAAAUAGUCGAUAACCUAUGAGAGCAACAAUUAGAAAUUUUAUAGGUAACUCAAAAUUAAAAUUUAAUGAUAUUAGGGAUUGAAUUCUAGUUGAAGAAGUUCACAAGAAAUAUCUAGGUAAAGCAACGACAAACUAACAUAGGAGUUAUGAAAUGAAUUCUACCCUACAUGUUAAGACCAGGGAUAAGAGUUAUGAAAGGAAUUCUAAUCGGGGCAACAAUAGAUCAAAUUUCAAGAAUGGAAAAAAACAAAUCUAGAUUUUGGUGAAAUGUGGAACACUUUUGGUCGCAUAAAGAAAAAUUGUAGAGCAUUGAAGAAGGAUAAAAACAAAAAUAGCAUUUCCAAUGUUGUGAUUGAGAAGGUAUAUGGUGCAUUGCUCUUAUAUAUAGAUAAUACCAUUGACUCUUAGUUGUUAGACUUAGAAGCCUAUUUUCAUACCAUUACGCACCACAAAAGUAUUGGAUAUUAUGUUGUUGGAAACUAUGUAAAGAUGUAUCUAGCUGAUAGAGAAUCUUUAGACAUUGCUGGUGUUAGUGAUAUCAGAUUGAAAAUGUUAAAUGAGUAUAUGUGGAAAAUCUAAAGGAUAAGGCAUGUACCAAAGUUAAUCUAUAACUUGAUCUCAAUAGGACAACUUGAUGAUGAGGGUCAUAAUGUGACAUUAUUGGUGAGACAUGGAAAGUCAUCAAGGGAACCAUGGUUAUUCCUCAAGAAAAUGAAUUAGAACACACUAUAUGCCUUUUAGUUGAAGGAUACAACUGCUAUUGUUGAUGCUAGUGCUAAUUUAUAUAUAUAACAUUAUAGGCUUGGGCACAUAAUUGCGAAGGGAAUGAAAGUGCUUUUAUCAAACAAAAAACUAUCAAGGUUGAAAUUUGUUAAGCAUAUCUUAUAUGAAGGCUGCAUAUUUGGUAAGUAGAAAAUGAUUAGUUUUUAUAAAGUCAGAAAGGAAUCAAAAAUAAGAAAAUUAGAGCUAGUUCUUACUGAUGUGUGGAGACCUUCUCCUGUUACGUUCCUUGGAGGCUUCAGUUACUAUGUGACAUUCAUUGAUGAUUCAAGUAGAAAGGUUUAGGUUUAUUUCUUAAAGAAUAAAUUUGAUGUUUUUUUAUGCCUUCAAAAGGUGAAGAGCCAUAGUUAAAAAUUAGUCAAAUUAAAAGGUGAAGUGUUUAUAAUCUGAUAAUAAGGAAGAAUACAUUCAUAAAGAAUUCAAACAAUGUUUGAUAAUGAGGAAAACCUCAAUAGAUGGUGCGACAAAAAGGAUGAACAUGAUGUUAAGUGAAUGUGCUAUGAGUGUGAGAUUGUAUGUAGUCUUUCAAAGAUGUUAUGGUUUGAAGUGAUUAACAUUACAUCUUAUUGAUCAAUAGGAGACUCUCAACACCAUUGGAUUAUAGAAUCCCAUAAGAGGUUUGAAUAGGUAAAGAGGUAAACCUUUCUUUUUUGAAAGUGUUUAGUUUUGUUUCUUAUAUUCAUAUUAACUCUACUACAAGAAGUAAACUUGAUCCAAAAUAUAUAAAAACUGUUUUUAUUUAUUUAUUGUUUUUGGUGAUAUUGAGUUUGGUUAUUGCUUUUGGGAUGACCAAAAUUGAAAGAUUAUCAAGAGCAGGGAUGCUAUUUUCAAUGAACAAGAUAUGUGCAAGGGAAAAUUGAGCAUAAAGUCUAAAAUAGAAUGUCUUGAAUUAAAAAAAAAAAAAAAAGGUUUAGUUGCAAGAUUUUCUAAUGAAUGAGUUAUAGAAUAGUGAUUGAGAAGAUCAAGAAAAUAUAACUAUAAAGAUGAACCAUAAACUCCUGUGAUUGAACUUAGGAGAUCUUUUAGGAACAUCUGAUAACCACAAAGAUAAUCCCAUUCAUUAUACUAUAUUUUGUUGACUGAUAGAGGUGAACUAGAAAGUUAUGAGGAAGCAAUGUAGGUUGAUGAGUCAAUUGAGUGGGAGUUAAUCAUGAAAGAUGAGAUGAACUUUUUAUUGUUAAUCAAACAUGACAGUUGAUUGAGCUACCAAAAGAUAAGAAGGAAUUGAUAAUAUUGAAAUUUCUCAAUAAUGAUAAAAUUGACCACAAUCAAGAUAGUGCUUGGACUAGUGGCAAAAAAAAAAAAAAAAAAAAAAAAAAAAAAAAACCUUGCAUCGAGAAUAGUUAGAUGUAAAAACAUUGUCUUCAUGGUAAUUUAGAGGAAGAAAUUUAAAUAUAGUAGUAAUAAGGUUUUGGAGUAUAAGACAAGGAGAGAAUGAUAUGCAAACUUUAGAAGAAUUUGUGUGGUAUAAAUAGGCUCCAAGACAAUGGUAUAAGAAGUUUGAUAAGUUCAUUAGUAAUAAUAAGUUCUUGUAGAUCAUUGUUGCUAUGUCAAGAAAUUUGAAAACUCUUUUAUUAUUCUACUAUUAUAAGUUGAUGACAUGUUAAUGGCAAGAGCUUGCAUAUAAGAAAUUAAUAAGCUGAAAAUGGGGUUUUCAAAGGAGUUAGUAUUAAAGAAACUAGGCUUGCAAAACAAACUCUUGGAAUAAAGAUUACUAGGGACAAGCUGCAUGGCUUCUUAAAGUUAUCACAAGUAGAAUAUGUGAAGAAAGUAAUUAGUAUAUUCACUAUGAAUGGAGUAAAGCCCGUGGAAACUUGUUUGGCUUGUCAUUUUAGGUUUGCCUAAGAGUAGUCACCUUUCACAUAGUAGGAGUGGGCCUCUAUGACCAAGGUACGUUAUGCUUCUAUUUUGUGAUAGUUUAUGCAUGCCAUGGUGUGUACUAGACCCGAUAUGAGUUGCAAGUAAAUAUAUGAACAAUCUAGGAAAACAAUAAUGGGAGGCAAUAAAAUGGAUUAUCAAGUAUUUAUAAGGUACUACAGAUUCAACUUUAUAUUUUGGGAAAUCAAAUUUGGAUCUACAAGGCAAUAGUGAUGUUGAUAUGAUUGGUGAUAGUGACAUCAAGAAGAUUACUAUUGGUAUGUAUACACAAUUGGUGAUAUAACAGUCAAUUGAGUUUGAAAAGUUGUAAAAGAUUGUUACUCUCUCUACUAUUGAGGCAAAAAACAAUGUUGUGAUAGAAGUUACCAAGACGUUAGUAUGGUUAUAGAAUUUCUUAGAAGAGUUAGAUUUGAAUAAUGGGAAGAACAUUUUGUAUUGUGGCUGUGAGAGUGUUAUUCAUGUAGCAAAGAAUCCAAUUUAUGAUGCUAGGACAAAGUUUAUACAUGUUUGAUAUCAUUACAUAUGAUUAGUUUUGGAAGAUGGAACUUUGGCUCUCAAGAAGAUUAAAGGGUGUCAAAAUCCAAUUGAUAUGCUAAUGAAUAUAGUCACAAAAGAGAAACUGAAGUUUUAUCCAAUUUUAAUUGGUUUUGUCAUUGAGAAAUGAGGAGGUGUUACCUCUACAAGAGACAUCUAAUGGUGGAUCAAUCUCCAAGUGGGAGAUUGUUGAGUUGUGUAGAGCCUAAUUUUAUUUAAGAGGUAUUUAAGAUAUUCUACACAUAUAUUAGUUUGCUACUAUUUUCUCAUUAUUAUAUAAGGGAUUAUUAUCAUUUUUAGGAUGAGGGUGUGAAAAUAAAGGAGAGGUAUUUAGCUUGUGAUAAUGGAAAUUUUGCAUCGGUAGAGUGGAUGUAACUCUCACAUUGAGAAUGAACUAUUAUAGAUCUUGUGUGUGCUUUAACUAUUUUUUCUUGUGUUUUAUUACUCUUAUAAAUAGGAAUUUUCUUCUAAUAAAAAGAAGAUAUAUUAUUAAUGAUAACACGAUUUGAUAAUAUAUUUCUCUUGAAAUUUACAUAACAAAUAGAAAUAUCUUUAUUUUCAGUUAUGUAUAUUUCUUUAUGGUUAUUAUUCAAGUUAAGGUUUAUUACACUUUAUCCUCUCAACCUAUAACAUGUUUUGCAUAUUGCCUUCUCGAGUUCAAAAUCGAGCAAUGUACCCUCCAUCCUUUAUAAUUGCAUGCAAUGUGAAUUUUUUUAAAGACGACGUUAUUUUUUAAAGAUCACAUGCUCUGCAUGUGCUCGAGGGCAAAAUUGUCUUUUUUGCUAUAAACCCCAAAUUUGUAACCCUUCUCUUCCUUAUUUUUCUUCACUUCCUUCGAAACCCUGAAAUCCCAAUCCCACAAAGACGGGUCUUCUCAAAAAGUGGAAAACAAGCAUUAUAUAUUUGGUUAAACGGUUUUAUUAAUCUAAAAAUCAAAUGCAAUACUUGAAUGAACACCCUUGUCUUCCU